RNAcentral lists this long non-coding RNA (48062 nucleotides) under Fragaria vesca (wild strawberry). RNAcentral's name for it is "long non-coding RNA (FVES_LNC002733)". The record is from RNAcentral. Lineage: Eukaryota; Viridiplantae; Streptophyta; Magnoliopsida; Rosales; Rosaceae.
UCCUAGUUGGUAUCUAUGAUUCAUUGUAUAUGUAAACACCUUAGUGUCAAUGAAAUACUAUUCCGCUUAUCAGUUUUUUCAAAGCAAAACAAAACCUAGAAAGAGAUUUGACAUACAUUUAGACAUCAUAUUCCCAAACAAUAUUUUCUUAGUUAUGAAUUAUCCGGGGUUUCUUUUGUGACGUCAGUUUCAAUGAAAAGAAGUCACCCUAUACAGAGAUUGAAUUGUGCAUUUUUAUGUCUUGACUUGUAUCGUUUUCAGUUUUAUGUUCAUCUACAUUACAUCUUGGCAAAGGAUAUGUUCACCCUCAGAUUUGUGACCCAUGCAUUCAGUUAUUGGGCUCUGUUCCUAGCUACUGCAUUGUGCUUAUUCUACUUUCUAUCAUGGACUUGAGUUUUUCUGUAUGGUUUGAAAGUAAGAAUUCUUAUGUGCCUGUGUAAUUUCUGUAUAUUGGUUGAAAGUAAGAAUUCUUUUGUGACAUUAGUUUCGAUGAAAAGAAGUCACCCUAUACUGACAAAUUGAAUUGUGCAUUUUUAUGUUCAUCUACAUUACAUAUUGGCAAAGGAUAUGUCUUGACUUGUAUGUUCUUCAUGGAAAUAGGAAUGUAGUUGUCUGUGUGUGUGUGUGCGCGCGCGCGAGGGAGGCGGCAUGGAUGGGGGUCCUUUUUCAUAUCUGUGUGUGUGUGUGUGUCUGCGAGUGGGAUGGAAGGUUGGGUGUGAACUGUACAUCCUAAAAAGGACAUCAAUAAAAGCAAUUGUCAAGUUAUAUGGUCAACUUAUAAUUUUAAGGCCUGGUGAGGGAUAAUCGAGGUUUCUAUGGUUAUAUGGUCAAGUUACAUAAUGAAAGUUUGCGUGAAUUUGUAGUUAUACUUUAAGGACUGUUUUAUUUCGUUGUGUGUAUUUUUUCUAUCAUGGACUUGAGUUUUUCUUGUAUGGUUUGAAACUAAGAACUCAUGUGCCUGUGUUAUUUCUGUAUCUAGGUUGUCAGAGACAAGCAGACUGGCAAAACUACGGGAUCUGGGUUUGUUAGAUUUACUAACCCUUCAGGCCUGGCUGGAGCGCUCAAGGAAAUGAAUGGUAAUAACACAUAUUUCUUUGACUCGUUCUCUGCUUAUUGUUUUUGUUGGACUGUCUGCUUUCACUGUACAAUGCAUGGUAUAUGUUCCUUUUAUUCACUCCUCAACUCCAACUUGCCCCUCCUAUAAUCAAGUUGAUGUGAAACUACGCUGCAAUAUUGAAUUGUGAGGGUUUUUAGUUGUUCAGUAUUGCUGUCUCAGCUGUUAGUCCAAAUGAGAAAAUAAAAGCAUGCUCAAGCAAAUACAACACUGGGUAUAACAGAAAAUAAAAGCAUGCUGCAAUACAAAGACCUAUCACAUUCUUCCAAAAAAAAGUUCAACUUAACACAAUAAAAUAAAAGCAUGAGCUCGUUACGUAUAUAUCUUGGAUUGCUGUAAAUCUACGAAAUUUGUCGGAGCAAGUAGUAGAACAUCCUGGCAGUUCUUGCCUCUCCCAUUUGGCCAAGCAAUGGUUUCUGUGUGCUGCAACAAAGGCAUUGCUCUUUUGUGCUAUGAAAAUGAAACUUUGAAAAGCUAACACCUCUUCUACCAGUGAUUUGAAUACGUGAAAAGGACGAUCCUUUCAGGGUAUUGAAGACUUGAAUUUCUUUUCAGAAAAUUCUUCAUCAAAUCGUAUACAGUACACACUAUUCCCAAAGAACAAUCCUUGAGCUUGUCUCAGCUUUUUGAUGAUCACAUUGGCGUCAGGCAUGGUUCCAAUGAAACGUUCCCCCCCCCCCCCCCCCCCAGUACCAAAAUAAUCUCAAUGUUUUCUAACUACAUUUAGAUCCAAAAUAUUCCUCUGGUCUGUGCUACUGAGAGCAUAUUUGUGCUGAUACAUAAGUUCAUCAGUUCAUGCCUACUCUCAUAGAGCACGUUGGGUCUUAUCUCUCCUUCACAAUACCAACUUGUUUGCUAAAAGUACAGUUUACUGAUUUUCAGUAUUUUUGGUAUUAGAUAAGAGUCUUCCUAAAAAAAAAAAAGUAUUAAAUAAGAGUCUAUAUAUGCUUUGUCCUGAUUUACAUCUACAGUAUCUGGUUCAAAAUAUUGGUUUACAGUAUCUUCUAAAAAAAAAAAAUGGUUUACAGGGCCCUUUCUUAUUCAAGUCCUUCUAGGAUCAGGAAAACAACGUACUCUAUUCUAACCCUCCUAGGUAUCCCAAUCGGGACAGGAUCGAAAAUCAUGCUGCGCAAUACAUACACAAAUACUGGUGUAUAUAUAUAACACUCAAAUACUUCAUAACACUAGUUCGGUAGUUAAUUAGGGCGUGAUGGAAUCGAAAAGAAUAAACUUAGGCGGUGUCCUUCCCCAGCUUCCUAAUGAAAUCCUGGAAGAAAUCUUUCUGAGGUUGCCCGGCGUCAAAACUUUGGUUAUACAAACAGCAGUGUGUAAGUUAUGGAACUCGCUUAUCAAAACCUCUGCUUUCAUUGAAGCCCACCAAAAACGCAACCAACAUCAUCACCUCCUUCUGAUACAGGCAAGAGCAGCAGUCAAAGUACAAGGGAAAGGGGAUACUCGUCAUCUUUUCUAUUUGCUUUGUGAUAAACCUCCAUUCAAAGUGUAUAAAAGUUAUUACCAGCGUAUAACUCAUCCGUUUGUAGCUUAUGACAGAUUGCAUGCAACAUCCCCCGAGGAGAAAAUAGCAAGUAUCAGAAAAUUUGAUGUGAUGGAAACUUGCAACGGCCUAGUGUGUCUCGUCGCUUCUUCCAACUAUACCGCCUUGGUUUGGAACCCUUGCAUUAGAAAGCUUGUGAUGCCGCCCAGGAUCAACACCAGCCGUCAUGAGAUUAGUAAGAUUUCACAUGGCUUUGGUUAUGACUCGCGUACCCAUGAUUAUAAAGUUGUGAGGAUUGUGAGAUAUUUGGCUUGGACCGGACGGAAAACCUCAUACGAGAUUUGGUCUCUAGCGCAACCCUCCUGGAAGGCUCUUAGUGUUCUUCCUCCCGUAGACGACUUUCGUCCUAGUUCGCGUUCUAUCUUUGUUAGUGGUGCUGUUCAUUGGGUGCAUGGCAGGGUGCAUGGCAUUUGGAUGCAUGAAGCAAAUCCGACCAUUGUGUCCUUUGAUAUGUCCGAUGAAGUAUUUGGUGAGAUAACGAUGCCUCAAGUCAUGAUGAUUAAAAGCCAUCGCAUUAUAUCAAGAUAUAGGAACUCCUUAGCAGUUUUGCAGUGGGAUUUCGUUUUAGAUGAUGCGAAACAGAAACAACUUGACAUGUGGGUUAUGAAAGAGUAUGGCGUGGUCGAGUCUUGGACUAAACUGUUAACGGUUAAAUUGCCAGAGUACAUUCACAGCAUCAGACGGCUUGGGUUUAGAAACAAUGGUGAAGCCUUAAUCAGAUAUGUCAAUCAUCCUAGAGCUCGGAAAACAAGCCGUCAUGUGCAAAAAUUGCUGAAUCCUCAUAGCGAUGACAUUGGUGAUUUUGAAGCCCAGGGGAGCAGGUUCCUUGAAUACAAACUUGUGGAGCCUUUUGUAGAAAGUCUUAUCUUGCUUGACCACCCUUCUGCAAUUUCAACCAAUAUUUUAAAAGGGUAAGGCGUAGCCGAGGCUUUUUUGGGAGAACCUCGUUAAAGCGUAAGCCUUGAGGCAUAAGACGUGAGCCUUACAACAUAUAAGACAUAUGGUACUCUACAUGCACUUUCUACUCUAACUACCACCAAAACUAAGAGCUGCACAUGUUUUGGGUUUGUUUUCUGCACAACUAUGUAAGCAAUUAUAUUGCUUUAGAACUUGACAUUAUUUAAUAUGAGUUUAAGAUAUAAAGUUUAUAUUAUAUAUAUUGUUAUUCGAUAAGUUUGUAAGAGUUUUUGAAUGCAAAAGAAAUUGCAGUUAUCAAGUAGUUAUCAAGCAGUUGAAGAACAUGACAGUUUUUUUAUGGAUGAAACAACCAUAACAGCCAUGGCUGUGCUCUAUAUAUAUACAGGAAUUCUCAGGUGCGGACGUCCGCACCUAAGUUUUGGUGCGGAUUUUCAUUUUUGCACCACUUCCCGAUCGAAUUUCCUCAAACUUCCUUCUAGACAUAUCUAGAUCAUCUUGUGUAGAUCAUUUCUGCAAAAUUUCAGCCAAUUUGGUGAUCGUUAAGGCCCUCAAAAUCGAAAAACAAAUCUGACGGACUGAAUUUUGUCCAGUUCAUCAUCUCCAUUUGUUUUUCGAUUUUGAGGGCCUUAACGAUCACCAAAUUGGCUGAAUUUUGCAGAGAUGAUCUACACAAGAUGAUCUAGAUAUGUCUAGAAGGAAGUUUGAGGAAAUUCGAUCGGAAAGUUGUGCAAAAAUGGGAAUCCGCACCAAAGUUUUUUUGGUGCGGAUGUCCACAGCCGAGAAGGACUGUAUAUAUAUAUAUAUACAUGAAUUCUCAGGUGCGAGCGUCCGCACCAAAGUUUUGGUGCGGAUUUCCAUUUUUACACCACUUUUCGAUCGAAUUUUCUCAUCUUCACCGUUUAGUAUCUAGAUAAUAUUGUGUAGAUCAUCUCUGUAAAAUUUCAACUAAUUUGAUAAUCGUUAAGGCCCUCAAACUCGAAAAACAAAUGGACGGACUGAAUUCUAUCCGGUUGUGUUUAUACCAGAAAAACUCGAGUUUGAGGGCCUUAACGAUCACCAAAUUGGCUGAAAUUUUGCAGAGAUGAUCUACACAAUAUUAUCUAGAUACUAGACGGUGGAGAUGAGGAAAUUUGAUCGGAAAGUGGUGCAAAAAUGGAAAUCCGCACUGAAACCUUCGGUGCGGACGUCCGCACAGCUUUACGGUGCGGAUUUCCCUCUGUUCGCCACUGUACGGCGCCGGCGAGGGCACGCCUCCACCCCAGCGGACUCCAGCAGCUUCCCCGACCACUUUCCAUCCCCGGCGAGUCCGCCAAGUUUCAGUUUUCCGGCCAAAUCACCCAAAACUUGAAACAAAGUCAAUCUGACCGGAAAACUAGAAUUCAGCGGACUCGCCGGGGAUGGAAAGUGGUCGGGGAAGCUGCUGGAGUCCUCUGGGAUGGAGGCGCACCCUCGUCGGCGUCGUACGAUGGCGAACGGAGAGAAAUCCGCACCAUAAAACGGUGCGGAUGUCCGUAUCUGAGACGGAUAUAUAUAUAUAUAUAUAGUCUCUUCCUAAACAUACAAGUUCUAACAACAAGUCCCAUAUACUUGGAGAACAUAAGGCUGUAUUAAGGAGAAGGCUAACAUGGAUAACACAGGUGAUUUGCAUACAAUGAUUAGUAGAUUUUCAUAGACUGUAGACUAGGAUACAUAGAUUUCUUUUUAUCCUAAAAGUACUCAGCAAAACAUACAGAUAUUAUAGACAAGUUCAUAGCUUGAUUUGAUCUAAUAUAGUCUAAAAUAAGGUUCAAGUUUUGAUUCUAACCUUUCAAACUAAGCUUCUAAUUGGAUCAGCUUCACAUAAUCAAUUGGUUAAUACCUUACUUGUUCGGUAAACAAUCUCAUAUAACCCUUGAAAACCUUUCUUUAAUCUAUAAAUCAGUAAACAUCAUCCCCUAAUCUAUAAAUCAAAUGUACUAAACAAAAACUAACCAAAUAGCAUUUAUACAUGAAACUCCACAAAAUUACUAUCCUUUAUGCAUAUUCCAUUCAUAAUUUGAACUAAACUAAAACUCAAAUGGUUUACUUGUCGAAUUAAUAGGAAAAGAUAAGAAAGGAUAUAUGUGAUACUUAUCCAAUUAGUUUCAAACGCCAACAUCAACUAGAAUGUCCUCCUUGGACGCUCGAACCAACAGACCACAAGAAAGCUGCUGAUGAAAAAAAUAAAAUAAAAAAAUUUUAGGCAUGCGCAUAAGACGCCUUAAGCAGCGCCUUAUAAACGUUUUGCGUCUUAAACAGCGUUUUCUUAGCUGCAAAGACGACUCUUUUAACUCUGCGCCUCACGUUUUUUUGACCCUAAGGCGAGCUUUUUAAUACAUUGAUUUCAACCUUCUAGCUAAAAGAGAUCAGGAAUAUACAUGGGACAUGAAUUACGUACAAAACCAAAAAAGUUAAAGUAUGGUAAGUUCCAAAUUACCCGCUGGUAAAAAUUCUAAAAUAGCAUCUAUACAGUUGCUUCCCUUCCAGAGGCUUCCAGCAUUUCGAGCGCGCAGCAUUAGUUUCUUGCAGCAGCAGCAACCUCCCCAAGCUGCGUCCAUGUCGACCCAAACGGACCAGACCCCAAACCCAAGUCCCAUCCCAACCAAGAAACGAACCACCCGGAAGAGGCUCCGACCUUGCAGCAACCACAGCUACGAGCUCACCACCUUUUGCCAACCGGGUCGCCCGAUUAGUCCGACCGGCCCAUUCCAAGACAACGUUGUCGUGUUUCUUCAACAAUGUGCGGAGCUCACUGACUUUAGAGUUCAAGGCAUGAGUGUUUGGUUCACUCUUCUUCGUAGCCGUGAGUGUUUGGUUCCUCUUUUUACUAUUGAAGAGACCGUGGACAACUCCAAGACCGAGUUCUGUGAUCACUGCUUGUCAACUGGUUCGACACUCCUACCUUAUUUUCUCUACAUUCUUGUGUUUCGGUAACUUUUUUUUAGCUGGUGUAGGGCUUAGUGCUUUAUGAUUCUGGUUUUGGUUUCGAGAAUUUCGGCUAUAUGUUUGGUGCAAUUUGUCUAUCUUUUUCUUGUUGCUGUGGAAAUGUGGUUCGAUCGAAGUUGAUGUAGUCGAAUUGCAGUACUUAGAUACUAGGUUGCUUGCUAGACAUAGUAGUUUUGGUUCUGAAGUUACAUACUUUUCUGUCUAGAAAUUGGGGAUUUGGGGAAGUUUAUAAUGCAAGACCUUAGGAAUGUUCUUAAUUUCUUGAUUUCCUUCACUACUCUAGCAGUGUUCAACUAAAGAUGACAACUUUUGAGUACAUUAUUCGUAGCGAAUAAGUCUGGAAAUUUGAGGUUUUAAAGUACUAGUCUUUACCUUGUUCUCAUAGGAAAAGCAACUGGUUAUGCCAACUUAUCUGGCAACUUGCUGUUUGAUUCUUUGUGCUAUGCCUCUGUCAUACCAGCUUCUGUUCUGCAAUCUUUGGUUUUGUUUCUUUGCUUUUUCUGUGGCUGUGGCGUGACAAUUUUAUGUUGUUUUUGUUUAGAUUGGAGUAACCAUUUUGUGUCAAAGAGAAAGUACCACAUCAUAAUUCCCAAGGAUAAUUGUUGGACUAAGCCUCUGAAUGAUAGUAUCUUGGAAGACACAACACAUCUGUUACAUGGAAUGAUACAUUGUGAUGGGAUUGGGCAUUUGCUAUGCAUCAAUGGACUCAAAGGGGGUUCUGAGCAUUUUUGCGGCAGAGAGAUCAUGGAUCUUUGGGAUCGGAUUUGCACAAAUCUUCGAACCAGGUAACUGAAACUACUUAUUUCUUGCUGCUCUUAGGAUUACAUUAUGGAAAAUCGAUGUACUAGUUGUACUGUAUCUUCUCUGUUGCAGGAAAAUUACAGUUGAAGAUUUCUCAAAGAAGCGGUCCAUGGAACUUCGACUGCUCCAUGGAAUUGCUUAUGGACAUGCUUGGUUUGGUAGAUGGGGGUACAGAUUUUGCUAUGGGAGCUUUGGGGUGGCAGAAGAAACAUAUGAAAGAGCACUUGAUAUUCUCAGCUCAAUAGAGCUUGAAAAGAUCAUCCAAGAUUUUAGUGACAUGGAACAGUGUGAAGAGCUGAAGAGAAUAAUUCAUUGCUACAAACAUUGGAGUGAAUCAAGCUUGGUUACAAUCAAAGACCUUCUCAAAUUUAUGCUCACUGUCAAGGCUGGCAUUCCUGCACCUAAAAAAGUCAAAAUGCCGCUAUUGCGCACUGCUUCUCUUUCAUCUUGCACUGCACACCGGAUCAAGCCCAAGCUAUUUGCUGAUGUUAUUCGUCACAGAUCCGGCCGCCAUCCUGCAAGAAGACUAAAGAUAGCUGCGGAUGUGAUUGUGCAUGUAUUGAGAGAAAAUGAAAAGAAAGGCUUUGUGAAUGGUGAGAUGGCCAGGCAAGAUUUAAGAGAUGCAACUCUGUUGCAUAGUCAAAGAAGAGGGUUGCCUGUUAGAGAUAUAGGUUUGUUGGAUAACGUGAUAAGCAAGCUGGACAAUGUGAUAAUUGGGAAUCACAUUGUCUGCCGCACACUGCACACACUGCCUAGAACUAAGAUUAAAAUAUGGAAAUAUACCGUUCAUGAUCUUCCUGGUGUUUACAGUGAGAAAGAGUUACCUCCCCAAUCACUUCCAUCACAAGCUCUAGUUCCUGAUGUUUACAGUGAUGUGCUUUACUUGUACAAGAAUGUACUGUUGGCAUAUCCUGAAUCCAAGUUGGUAGAAUUGGCUACUCAAGUGGUGCUGAACACUAGACACUUUGUAAAGGAAUAUCGAUUCGGGGAUAAGGAUGAGCAAGAGCAGUUCCUUGACAUUCCUUUCCCAAGUAUGACUGAUAGUGGUAAUCAUGCUGAAUCAGGAAGCUAUGAGUGUCCACCAGGUAUCGCAACAUAAACGCUGCUGUGGAAUGGAGGAUGCUAAUGAAAUCUGGCAGCCUAAAUUUGAGACUGCUUUUAGAUUAGGACUGUUCUCCUUGCUGUUUGGUCUGCAUUGAGUACUACUGCAAACUGCACACUGACUGAUAUGUUAUGUGCUGGUGUAAACAUGAUGAGUCAUUGAAUUUAGGACUAAUUUCAGUUUACCCCAUCAACUUUAAAUCGAUCGUCAUGUUAGUCCUUCUUCUUUCAAUUUCAUCAAAAACACCCCUCAACUCCCAAUUUUCAUCAGCUGCGCAUGUCCAAACCUCUAAUCUCCAUCAAAUUCCUCUGUCAAGUGAUGACUUGAUAUCAAGAAGAAAAUCAAAUUAUGAAAGUUACCUUUCGGACCAUUUUUCCCCCAUAUCGAAACACAUCUUUGUUCCAAUCACAACCCCCUAACCUUAGUGAUUUUGGUGGGAUUGAAUGCAAUUUGUCUAUUUUUCCAUUUUUCUUUCUUCUUGAUAUCAAAUCAUCAGUUGACAGAGGAAUUGGAUGGAGAUUGGAGGUUUGGACAUGCGCGGCUGAUGAAAAUUGGGAGUUGAAGUUGAGGGGUGUUUUUGAUGAAAUUGAAAGAAGAAGGACUAACAUGAUGAUCGACCUAAAGUUGAUGGGGGUAAACUGAAAUUAAUCCUUGAAUUUACAUAAACCUAAAAAUUUUGUUUCUUCCAUAUUGUAGAUACGUAUGAUGUUAAAGCUUAUUAUCUCUUCUUUCUCUUUGGAUUGAAAAGCUUAUAUAUUCUCUUGAACACACUCAUUCACUGCUGUUCUUUUGCCUACAGACAAUUUUUUCAAGUUAAAUCUGAACUUCUGACUAUGGCUAUAGAGCUAUACUCUCUUUGGAGAGGAGUUACACUAGUUCAUGUUCAAUGGCUUAUCAUUAUUUUGUUACCUUGGUUUCAUAUUUCUUUUUUUUUUUUUUUUUUUUUAGUAGUAUCAACAACUAUAUCCUCAAAGGAAAAAUUAUGAUUUAACUUCAAUUAGCGUCGGUUGAGAUUUGAACUUAGAUAUGGUGGUUCCACACCUAGACUCUUACCAACUCGACCAGCUGUGAUGGUAGUUAGUAAGAGCAUCUCCAACAGCUUCCCCAAAAUUUCUUUAAAAUGGGGAAGCAAAACCUAAAAUCUCCAAAAAAUUAUGAUCAAAAUCCAGCAGCUUCUCUAUUUUAGAGAUUUCGGCAUUUAAUACAACAAUAAAAUAUAAUAUAUCAUCAUUAAUUAUAACAAAAAAACAUUAUAUAUUGCAUUGUAACAAUAAACUACCCAAUAGAAUAUUUUAUUAUUGUCUUAAAUUCGUUGGAGCACGUGAAGAAUUUAAUUUUGGAAAGAAAGACUUUGCUGCAAAUUUGGGGAAUGAAGGCUUCUUUUUCUUCUUCAUCCCCAUUUUGGGGAAUGAGAUGGGGAAGCUGUUGGACCUAAAAACAACUUUAUAUUCUCCAAAAUUGAGAAGUUCAAAAAAAUGGAGAAGCUGUUAGAGAUGCUCUAACAAGGUGGUUAGUAACAACACAUAAUUGAGUGGGAGAAAUAACCCAAAAUGCCUUACUUGAUCAAUAAAAGUGACAUUUAUUAAACCUUAAGAAAAGAAAAAAGGAAAAAGAAUAAGAGACUAUACGAUGUCAUUUUGGUGCUUCUAUGUAAAGGUUGGCUCCUUCAGUUCAGCCAUUUCACCUUUUCUAAUUCCAUAUCUACUACCCAAAGCUUCUUGCUUUUCUCACUUCUCUAUCAAAUUGUGCACCAAAGUUCUAAACUUUACGCUUCAAGAUGUCCUAUUUGUUCAAAUGCUGUUCUGGGUUUCUGGUUAUGGCUGCGUUUUUGGUUCUGGGUUCGAUCAAUGUCUACGCUUUUGGGUCUCCGUCUUCUUCAGAGACCACUAUGCACACUAACAAUUGGGCUGUUCUUGUCUGCACCUCUCGCUUCUGGUAAUUCUAAGCUUCAUUUUAGUUUGAUCAAUCUGUAUUUACAGUUUUUUGUGUAAAGAAUUGAUACCCAUGUUUUAGAUUAUGGUUGUUUGGGUUCUUGUGAAACUUGUAAGGUCUUAGUUUUGAGUUCUUAGACAUAAUUGUAUUCAAAUUCUAAGUUGUGCAAUAUCAACAAUGCAGAAUAAGAGAAGUUGAAAGAUAUGCUUCACCAUUUUAUAGUUUGGAAUCAAAGUGGUGCCAGAGUUCUAAGUUAACUUCAUCUUAGGAUUGGUUUAAACUUGUGUGAUAGUCAGCUAUUUUGCGGCUGCCCAUAAGUUGGUGUUGUUGGAUGUAAGAAACCCACAGAGAUUUCAUCUUUUGUUCUGCAUCAGUACUUUAGCUUAAACAUUACUCUAGCAAAUACAAAAGGGUACUAAGACAAGUAGUUACAUCUUAAGGGUUCAUUCUAUGCCGAUAUUGGUUAAGACUUAAGAAUCAUACUGAGGUAGUGCAAAAAUCUUGAAUGGUAAUGUACUUCAAGCUUUGAUAGCUCUAUACUUCUAUUGAAUGGCAAUAUGACUUUUCUAUUCCAAAUGGCUUGUUUUUCUGUCAGGUUUAAUUAUCGACACAUGGCCAAUACUCUAUCCCUGUACAGGUCUACAACACAAGCCAUUCUCCUCCUGGAAGAUCCUCUUUUCUUUUCUCAUGUAGAUAGUUACGUAUGCUUUGUUUUGAUUUGAAGGACGGUUAAGCGACUUGGAAUACCUGAUGAGAGGAUAAUACUUAUGCUGGCAGAUGACAUGGCCUGUAAUGCUAGAAAUAAGUACCCUGCCCAAGUUUUCAAUAAUGAAAACCACAAACUGAACUUGUAUGGAGAUAAUGUUGAGGUGAGAUUUCUUGUUCCUGGUUAGGUUGUUUACUGUUACUCAAAACAUAACAGUUUCCCAAUUACAUUUUUUAAAUUCCAAUCAUGAAAUUAAUUAAACUGAUUCUACCAGGUAGAUUAUCGAGGUUAUGAAGUGACUGUUGAAAAUUUUCUACGUGUAUUAACUGGGCGCCAUGAAACUGCUGUUCCAAGAUCUAAGCGUCUUUUAAGUGAUGAAGGAAGCCACAUUCUCUUGUAUAUGACUGGGCAUGGAGGAGAUGAGUUUUUAAAAUUUCAAGACUCAGAAGAGCUCCAGAGUCAUGAUUUAGCUGAUGCUGUGAAACAAAUGAAAGAAAAGCGUAGGUAAGAAAAAUUUACCUCUGCAACUGUUUCUAGACAUACAUACAAUAGUUUGCAUUUCUUAUGAUAUUGUCUUUUUGAAAUCUAGUUUGGUACAUUUUCAUUUAUGUUUUGAAUGUAAUAUUUUUAAAAUGUAGCUCUGAUGAGUGUCAUAUUGAUUAUCACCACCAGAUAGAACUCAUCUAACUUCGAGAAUAUGACAGGUUCAAGGAGCUGCUGAUAAUGGUGGACACUUGCCAAGCUGCCACUCUCUUCUCUCAGGUUUGUGAUUUGCUCUACCAGUGCAUGAAAUCUAGAUACUUUUAAGUUUUUACUGUUAGAUUCUGAGAGCUAUAUUAUCUUGUGAGAAUUGUUGGGGGUACUUUUGUUUAUGUACAAUCUCUGUUCUUUUGCAUUUGCAAGAUGCCCUUCUCAAUAUCAUCUAGUCACUGGUAACCAAUUGGCGAAGUCAUUAUUGCACUUUAAAUAUGUUUUUCACGUGACUAUUUUAGUAUUUUGCCUUAACCUGGUCUGUUUGAGAAUGACUUUGUUACUAAAUUAAAGGUCCCUUUCUGAUUUGCAGCUUCAAUCACCGGGUGUUUUGGCUAUUGGAAGUAGCCUGAAAGGAGAAAAUUCGUACUCGCAUCACUUGGACUCGGAUGUAUGGCAUUGCUAUCAUAUAACCUUUGAAGUCAUUUGGCUGAGAAUGCUAUGCCAUGUUCUUUAAUUUAACUCAAAUCAAGGUAUUAUAUACAAUGUACUGUGUAUAAUUUCAUUCUUGUUGUACUGUUUGAUUGAUGCAGGUUGGUGUCUCUGUUGUGGAUCGUUUUACAUUUUACACACUUGCAUUCUUUGAGAAGCUAAAUAUGUAUGCCAAUGCAUCCGUGAGCAGGUAUAUUCUACUGAUAUGAUAGACUGAUAGACUGAUUUCAUGUUUGACUCUGCUGAUAGGGAUGUGUUUAUCAUCUUUCCACAUCUUAGUUCAUUACAUUCUUCUCUUGCACCUAUAUGCACUGCUAUCUGCUUUCGCAUGAUACAGACCACCGCCCGCCCCCCCCCCCCCCCCCCCCCCCACCCGGGAAAAAUAAUAAUAAUAGUAGUAAUAACAAUAACAUUCUAUCUGAAGGUGGUUUUCUGUUAUAUCUGUAGCUACUUAAAAGUAUUUCUCAGUAAUGUAGUCAAAAUAAAGGCAUUCUUGUGUCAAGAUCACAGUUGCAGCAUUUAAGAAUUUCUCCGCAUGUUUCUCAGUUAGAAUAACUUCAGCCAGACUUGCUUUAAAAUUUCUCCUUUGACUGUACUUUUCUGUAACAAUGUUUGCCUAUGCCUACUUGAAAUGAUUGUGACUCAGAUCAAACCAUAUAGUCAGGGAAAAAAGCCUAUGUGAAUUUGACUCUUCUUCCACUAUAGUGGCUCAUCCCGUUGAACAAAUUUAUACCUUAAAAUCAUUUUAGAGAUAGUAUAUAUCGACUGAGUCCUUUGGUUAUUGUUUUUCAGUCUUUUUAAUUCGUAUCACCCAAGCUUCUUGAUGUCAACUGCAUAUUAUCGAACAGAUCUAUACCAGCGUCACCUUGAAGAGGUAUUGAUAUAUAAACUUAUCUUCUCAUUCUGAGCUAUAGGAGUGGUUGGAAAUAUUUUGUCGUUUUAUGCUAAUUAUACUGUUUUGGCUUGGACCACUUUUCACCUGUAAGAGUGCCUAGCUUCUCAUGAAUCUUGUUGCAACUUGAACUGUUUGGCAUGUUUUAUCCUAACACAAUAUCAUUUAGAUGUUGUAUCAUACUGCUUCUUGAGGUGCCUUUUUCAUAGUUGCAAAACUGCUUUGUCAAAAUAUUUUUUCAUAAGGCUAUUGACUGAGCUAUAUUUCAGGCUUAAUCUUCAGCAACAGCUAUUUCCUUCAUAAAUUUUACUGAGCUAACUUCUAAUGUGCAUUUCCACAUGGAACACGUUGGUAGAGUAGCAACCUAGGAGGUUGAGAUACUAUUUAUUGACUUUGAUACUUGCUGCUAUAUUUCAGGCUUAAUCUUCAGCAACAGCUAUUUCCUUCAUAAAUUUUACUGAGCUAACUUCUAAUGUGCAUUUCCACUUGGAACACGUUGGUAGAGUAGCAACCUAGGAGGUUGAGAUACUAUUUAUUGACUUUGAUACUUGCUUUCAGGUACCUGUGACAAACUUCUUUGGAUCAGUCAUGGAAACCAUACACACUGAUUCAGCCUAUAAAGCCCUUUCAAGGAAAAGUUGCCGCAGAGCUGAAAUCAAUACGCCCUCUGAUCAAUCCGCUGAUGGUGAUGAAAGAACUUUGGCAGAUUCAAAUGGUCAGGAUCAAUUCAGUGAUUUGAAGAAAGAGGUGACAGUUCUAUAACCCUUUGUGUUAAUGCAUGAACCUUUGUUUCUCUGCAACACUGAUUAUGGGAAGGAAUGAUCACUGCAGGAUGAACAAAGUGCUUUCAGACAUUUGUGGAACACUUUCAAUGACAAAGUCAGAAAAAUUGAAGAUGCGGAUUCAUUUGUGCAGUAUGGUUUGCUAGCCAUGCUUCCACUAUUGCUACUUCCCACAUGGUUAUCGCAGUGAAAGUUGGCUUUGAGAAGUGAGAGAGACUGAGAAAUAGAAUCUGUUGAUAAGUUAAAUGGUGAUGUAGUUUUUGUUCAUCUUUAGUCUGUUAAUUUUUCGGAUUCAAGCCAUCCAGCGCUAGGUGACCGCAUAAUGGCAAAAUGAGGUUAUAUUAGGAUAGGUACACGAGUCCAAUCCCUUUCGAAUAUCAAUGUAACAUUGUGUUCUAAUUGAACUGUGAUAUGAAUAUUUUAGUUGUGAAGCUCCAUGGAUCAAGACGCCUGAAUAUACUGAACACCGGAGCUUGUUAGAUUUGUACUAAAAUUACUUGCUAUUCUCAGAUUUGCAAUUUGAACUUGGAAACAGUUUAUUGACCUUUUAUUUUUUUUGGAAACAGUUUAUAGACCUAGUGUACAAUAGGCUUGAGGUGAGUCGAGAGUGAUACAUGUCCAACUAUGGGUACAAAGUACAAACACAAAAAUGAAGACAAGAAUCCCAAAAAUGAUAAUUUUUCACAAAACCCUUGUCUGUGAUGAACAAAAAUUCCAUACAAUGGUCAAUGGUUUGACCUACUGAUCCUCUCUGGACAUAUAGCAGCAGCCAGCAGGUAUAGUAUUAUAGUGCCAUUAUUCCUCACUAUUACCAAUAAACAAACUAAGGUAGGCCCAGACUAACAAAACAAAAUAAACAUCCCCAACCAAAGCAAAGCAGCUUCAGCAGCAACAUAGAGAAAACAAGAAAGAAGAGGAAGAAGAAGAAGAAGAAGAAGGAGAUCACCAUGAUGCACUACAAGGAGGUAUAUAUUUCCUUCACCAUUUGCAUUGUAGUUUCUUGGGUUUUUCAUUAACAAGCUUAAAUCACUGUUUAGAAAAUCUUGUAAUUGAAAAUGGGCGUCUGGUGAUGAAUGUAUUGGCAGGAAAAAGAGGCAAAGAAAGAAGCGUUCAGGAAGUACUUGGAAUCCAGUGGAGUCCUUGAUGCGCUCACCAAAGGUCUGUUGCUCUCUUUUGUCUCUAUUGAUUUGAAGCUUAAUCAAGUCCUUUCCUUUUUGUUAUUUUGUGUGAAAAGAUUAAAUUUUUGUGAUUAAUCGAUGUGCAUUCUCAUUCAAUCUGUCUUUUCCUGUUAAACAUUUCUGGGACAGUUUUGGUUGCAUUGUACGAGCAGAAUGACAAGCCUUCCUCUGCGCUCGAGUGAGUUGAUUAGUUUCUUUGGCCCUUUGAUCUAAUGUAAUAUAAUGCCAAUCUGUUUCAAUGAAUAUCAAUGUAGAUGACUAAUUGCCCAUAUAAGUUUAUUGGUUAUUCAUUCGUAUUAGUUUGUUCAGUUGUUGAAAGAAAGAUAUUAGCUUUUCAUUUUAUGGGCAGUUUUGGGCUCUCUUCCUAAUAUCUCAUUCCACAAUAUUGCUCAAUCUUCAACCUGUGUUUGUGAUAUGGCAGGUUUGUUCAACAAAAGUUAGGAGGUCCAUCUAUUUCUGACUACGAGAAGCUGCAGGCUGAACUUUCGGAUUUGCAGAUGAAGUAUAAUCAACUUUUCGCAGCUUACCAAGAGACAAGUGCAGAGGUAUUCUUCUCCUUCUUGUAAUUUGAGCUUGGUAUAGGCAGAGGCCAAGAGCGUUUUGGAUUGAAAUGUGAAGUUCGAUAGCUAUGUAUGAUGAUAAAACUGUUAACUAUGUAUCAAAUGUUGAUGAAGAGGGAAAAUUUGUGAAAGCUAUGUUAACUAUGUAUCAAAUGGAAUUACUGAAUAUGAUUGGGUUUAGUAUGCAUAUUACACUUUUGCACACUUAAAUAGGAGAAAGGCAAGAGUUCAGACAUAUAAGUUAAAGGAUUGUCCUAAGGUAUUACCCAUAGUUCUAACUUUUAAUGGCACAAUAACUCACAAUUUCUGUUAUUUGAAUGAUCAAAUCUAUACCGAGUAAUGAAGUAUCAUGAAGAUAUAAAUCUGAGAAGAUGUAUGGUUGUCUAUUACAAUUGGCCACAAAGGGUUGUCUAUUACAAUUGGCCACAAAGGGAAGGCAUGAGCUGCAGUUCAUGUAUCCUUCCCCAUCAGGAAUGCAGAAAGCAUGUCUAUUAGACCUCCUUAUUUGCUUAUGUAAUAUGUCUAUGACUGUUACUGAUCUGAACAUUAGAUACUCCUCUUUUUUGAUGUGUGCUGAAAGCAUGACUGUGAAGAUGUGGGCUGUCUAUAACUUUCUUUUAGAACAAUUCUUGUUGUGGUAGGAUAUUUGAGAAAUGUAGAAUGAGUCAGUCUGCUAGGUUAACACACCAAGCAUGUGUGAAUAUAAAGCUUGAAAGUUCACCUCCUCGGUGUUCUCCUGUGACUUAAUAUAGCCUGCAUCUAAUAUUAAUCUUCAUUUGAACUGUAUAUGCCCCAAAGUUCCCUUUUGCUAUAAAUCUAUGAGCUCACAAUAUGCACUUUAUUGCAGUUGGAGGGCCUUAAGAGCUCACAAUCGAAUACGACACAUAAUGAGGCAUCAGGUUCUACCAAGGAGACCACUGCUGAGGAGGCUCAAAAGGAAAAUUCCUAGAAAUUUCGGCGGAGGAUUUGGUAAAUUGUUAAGCAAAGUAACACCUUUAUUUCUGGUAAAUAUAUCGGUUGUUGUAUGCAUUCGGUUAGAAGAGUUGGUGAUUUUGUGAACUGAUCUGUAGCGAGUCAUCUGCUAAUUUAAGAUCCUCUAGUGGUCUUUCUUUGAACUCAACUGUUUGGAAAUAUAUUGUAUUGCCUUUUCAAGAUAUAACUUCAGUUUUUCUCGGGCUUAUGUCUAAUUUCAGAGUUCAUUGUCACAUCUUGUGGAGAAAAAAGGAAAACAAAAACUCCAGUGACUAGAACAUGUGCAAGGAAAGCCACAAGAGACCACCCUCGAAAUGUUACAAACUUGCAAGUUGCAAUUAGAUAAAUAUUGAGUUCAUCUAUGUCAAUCACAUUCCUGACUACAGUUACUUCAUUCCUAACUUCAACUAUUUGCGGUUGACAUUGUCUGCAUUUCUUGAAGAAACUCGGUACCGGACUACCGGCUGCUAACAGAAUAGUGAAGCUAGCAGGACAACCAAUACAACUGAGGAAAUUAAAGCCUGCAGAAAUUACACGAAAGUUAGAGUUUGAUUUAGAACAUUGCCGUAGCAAUUAGAUUAAAGUAGUAAUUCUGGUAUCAUUCUUACAGCAAUUGCAGAUGCUGCAAGGCCAGGUCUCUCUCUAGGGUCUUUAACAUAAUUCCCAAAGUAAAGCACAGUUGCAUAGUACCAUAGUGGAGGAAAAGCAAAUCCCAGUAGAAACCUGCUAGGAAAAAAGCACUUCUCAAACUCAUCACAACAUCAAAUCUUUGUCCCUUUGUUCCUUAAAUGUAAGGGAAAAGUGAAACACAUUUGGAUUAGAACUCACGAGAACCAACCAAUGCCACAACCAAAACAUGAAAGAGGCUUAUCAUACACCCCAUCAGAGCAUCUAUCCUCUACCAAAGCCGACUCUCCUCCUCCAUCAACUUCAAGUUUCACCAUUUCUUGCUUAUCUCCAUCUGGAACAGUUACUACAUAGUCACAUACGAUGUAUCAGUCAAAAAAUGGGAUAUGGCGAAAUUCCCUAUUGGGUAUCCACGACCAUUCACUUCUUUUCCUUCUCCAUACAGGGAACACACCACAUAACUCGAACUACUAACUUCUACAACUUUUCUCAUUCAUUCUUAGAUUUUGAUUUCAGGUUUAACGCCUAGCACAAGUGCACAACACAUCACCCUACUGAAAAAACACGUACAUUUGAACCAAACAAAGACACUCGAUGGUAAAACUGACCUUGAUGAUCCUGUAAUGUGAUCCCAGUGGUGUUAUUGGAUAUGUGAGGGGGUGAUGGUGCUUCUGUCAUUCUUGUGUUGCUGGUUAAUCAAAAUGAACAAAUCUGUAACAUAAGAAACAUCUGCACUGUUUGAAAAAUUACACACUUCUUUGAUCUAAUGAACAAAGUUUUGAAGAAAGCCAUGCCAUUAUGUGAUCAAUGUUCAUAAACUUCAAGAAGGAAAAGGGUUUAAAACCAGGAAGGAGAAAGAUGACAACUUCCUGUAACUUCCCACUUUUUUGUUUCUCGUGGAAAUCGACGGUUACCUCAUUUUAACCGAACCGUCUGCCUCUUACUGAUUGGACUUAUGGAACAACCUUAUCAGUUAUCACCAAUGGCCAAAAAGAGAAACUUUUUAUCUUUUUUUUUUUCUUUUGAGAAAAAAUUAUGCAAUUUCAAUCCAAUUAUCAUUCACAAAACUAUAAAUAAUUUUGGGAUUUUAACCCCACAUAUUAGGUCAAUGUUGGCUUUAGGUGUGUGUAUUUAGGGUUGUUGCUUCUUGGUGAGCUAUCAAAUUGAUGAAAAUUGACCAACCUAGACAAAAGCCCCCCACAUGUGUGUUGUUCUAGACUUGGAGUAAAGGCAAUAAGUUCAUUACUGAGCUCUCCUUGGGUUCUUAGUCAUCAAGAGCAUGACGGUGACUAUUCCCAUGCCAUUGGUGUUCAAGAUUUAAGGUUUGAUAUGGUCGGCAUUGGUAUAGUUGAAACGUGACGGUUUAGGUGUACGCUAUUGGAUCAAAUGGACGAGCAAGGAAGACGUAUUUUGCUACUCUGAUUUUAGGAUAUUGGAUUGACGAAAUUUUGUUUAGGCAAAAUCUUAGCUUAUUGCUACUGCUCAUCUUUGUCGAGACAACCACUCAAUAAGACUGAGUUGUAUUAGUCUAUUUAUUGAGUGAGAUGACAGUCAUGUCAAUCAUUCUAUUAAUUUCUCAUUAAGCAUCUCUAACAGCUUCCUCAUUUUCUCGAUUUUCUUUAUUUUGGAGAAGAUUUUAGGUGUUUUGCUCCAACAUAUUGCCUCAAACUUCUCCAAAAUGGGGAAUGUGAGAAAAGAGAAAUCCAAAUUCCUCAUAUUUACAGCAAACUCUAUAAUUUUAUAGAAGGAUUUGGAGAAUGAUCAUGAAAUCUCUAAAAUGGAGAAUAUGUUGGAGUUAGAGAAAAAAAAUUGUUUGAAGCAUUGACUUUUAAUUCCCUAUUAUAGAGAAAUUUUAGGGAAGUUGUUGGAAAUGCUCUGAGUGUUAAACUUUUGAUAGAAAAGAAGAUACGCGAUUCUCAUCCAUCGAAUUAACUCAUUUGAACACAACUAUCCAGUCUGUCUUUAACAGACCUCUAGACCGCUCUUCGUACAUUGCAUCGAACGCAACACUGUAACGCUCUAAUCUAUCCGUCAUAAAUCGACCGUCAACAAAAUAAUAAGAAUUUCCAUAUAAUAACCGACUAUGCAAUAGUUGGAAUUUCUCUUCAUUUUAGGAGAAGUAAAUAAAAACAUAAAUGGAAACCAAAUCAAACAAAAAAAAUACCACAAACAAUGGUGGUAGUCAAGAUCACAAUCCAACGGCUCAAACCCUCGCCACCCAAAUAAAAAAACCUCACCCACACCAUAAAAGAAACCAAAAUUCCCCCAAAAAAUCGAAACGAGAAAAGAAAAAGAAAAAAGAAAAUAAUUUUUUUUUGUGCAAAAUUCGGGAGGAGUCGCGCUUUCUCUCUCUAAAACACAAACCUCAACGACAACAACAAUGGAACCAAACGAACACCAACUCAGCUCCUACUUCCACCCCGCCAACACCGCCGCCGCCCUGUCUUCGCCGACCAAUGGCCUCGUCGGCGGCGGACCAAACACCCAACACCACCAACAACAACAACAACAACACCAACAACACCAACAGCUCUCCUCGGCCGACAACAACAACAACACCAACACCAACAUGGUCUUCACUCACUCCUCCGCGGUCCCUCCCCCGCCCACGUCAGCCGUGACGUCACCUGUCGAGCCGGCGAAGAGGAAGCGCGGCCGGCCGAGAAAGUACGGCACGCCGGAGCAGGCCUUGGCGGCGAAGAAGGCCGCCACGACGUCGUCUCACUCCUCCUCUAAGGUGAAGAAGGAGCAGCAGCAGCAGCAGCAGCAACACGGCGGCGGAGGCUCAGCGUCGCCGUCGUAUUCCGGGCCCACCAAGAAAUCUCAGCAGCUCUCAGCUAUUGGUGAGAUUACCCUUUUGCUUAUCGUGUGGGUUUGUUCUUAAAGUUUUGAGCUUUCUGCUUUUUCUGAAUUGGGUUUUAGCAUUGUGUUGUAAAGAUUGAAAAUUUGGUUUAAUAAAAAGACAGUAGUAGCAGUAGUGAAUCCUAUCUAGAGUAAGACAGUAAAAAUUGAUGGUUUUGACUGUAUUUUUCUUUUGGGUUCGUCUACAUUACAAAUCGGCAGAGGAUAUGUAUGGUAUGGUUUUCUUGGAUAGGAUCUUGUAAAGCCUAAAAUGACAUCAAUAAAAGCAAUUUACUGUGGCAAUGGAAAAUCUAGGUAUAUCCCACAGGGGAUUCUCUUAUUAAGUGGCUGCAUAUCUGUUAGACCCGAUGGCUUUACAGUUUAUUGGUGAUUGUUUCUCAGAAAGUUUCUUCAUGUAGGACAAUGGGAGCACUGAUUUCAGUGAAAGUUCUCAGUGACUUGUUGAAUAUUCCCUAUCAGUUAUCUGUUUUACAAGCUUCCGUGCUUAUGUAUGUGAAGGAUAGUUAACUUGGCUAUCAGUGAAUGUUUGGUUGAAAACAUUCUUGGUUUUAAGUUUUCCAAGUGCCUGCAUACAUAAAUUAUGUCUCUUAUUUAUACUUGUGAGGUGAUGUCUGUAUAUCAUAUUUGUUUUGGAAAGGGAAGAGAAUCGUGAUUUGUCCAAGUUCUUUCAAUAGUUCUAUGAAAAAAUAAAGUAGGCUGGACACUGAACUUUAGCUGCUAGAUGCCCCAUGUUUUUGUGGUUUUCCGUUUUUUUGUUUGAUUGUUUAUUAUAUCAGAACUUUCCCUUUUACUGCUAUUCCAAGAACUCUGAUGAUUGGGAUGUCACAUUGUUUCUACUUAUGAUACUAUGCUUGUUGAGUAACAUGCAAAAGGGUGAUGGUAACUCGACAACAGACCUUAAUUUCAGUGUGGAUCAAACAAUCCUCUGUUUUAUUGUCCACAGAAAAAAGAUUCACUCUCUGUUUUAGGAAUAGCCUUUGUUUUUUGCAGUGUCAUGUACAUUUAGAGAGCAUAAUUGAUAAGCUGAAUAUAAACCUUGGUAUUUGUUGAACUUCUAUUCUUCCACUUGUAUGCUGUUUGGUUUUAAAUAUUGUUCAAGUACCGUUACUUUUUGACAAAGUGAGGUAUUCCUAUAUAUUAAUACUCAUGAUGGGCCUUUUCUAUUCAUGGUUGAUGCAGGCAAUUCAGGGCAAGGUUUUACACCUCAUGUUAUAAACUUGGUUGCAGGAGAGGUAUACCUUUUAUUCUUACUAGAAGAUAAGAGUCUUUGUUCGAUGGACUAAGAUGUUGAUCUUUAAGAUUGAAGUGAGAAGUCUUAUGUUUGUCUUCUCAUCUAGUAUUCAGAAUGACUUUUUGUUUGUUUGCAAUAAUUCCAUCUCUGUAUGCAUUGACUUUGAAUUUGGCAUCUGUUUAAUACUUCGAUGGAGAUUGGGUCUGAUGGUGUUCAUAGUUCAUACUGACUUUAGUCUCGUAGGUAUAAGGUGUUACCUAACUUUGUUAAAUAUUCUUGUUAUUUAGUAGAAAUUAACACUUUAGUUGUCAUUUGUUACCUUGGUUAGUUAUAUAUAAUGACUCCUUUCUAAAUUGAUUUACAUCAUUUGAGUUUUUGAUAUAUCUUUCUAGGAUACAAUCUUGAGUUUACCUUUCCUCUCUUUCUUCUUGUUCAUCUUUUCUACAUUCUCUUCUACAUCAUAUCUUUCAGUUUUUGCUUGAAGCUUCACUUGUUACAUAGAAUCUUCCCUUUUCUUCCCAAAGUCGGAAACUCAUGAAUAUGUUAGAGGAGUGUCACAUUUUUUCACUUGUGAAAUCACUUUCACCUCAACCAUGGUACCUACUAUCAAAUUGUAUAUACAUAUAACCUAUCUUACCUUGUUGAUGACUUUAUAUAUAAUUGUCUUUUGGUUGUCUUUCAUUAAUUUGCUACCAACUCACAAAGUUUUUGAAUUUCUUGAACAGGAUGUGGGCGACAAAAUCAUGGCUUUUAUGCGACAGAGUAAGCGUGACAUUUGCAUUCUGUCCGCUUCUGGGUCGAUCUCAAAUGCAUCUAUUCGUCAGCCAGCUACCUCAGGAGGAAAUAUUACAUAUGAGGUAAAACCUUUUCUGAGUUUGAUGUUUUUAUCUUCUGUAUCAUUCAUGUCAGAACUACUGAGCUGCACUAUGUUACAUUUUGCACCUUUAAGUCUUAUAUUGUUAUCUACUUGUUAAUGUAUGUCUGUGUAUAUAGUGCUACUAUUUAACAAUAAUAAUACUGGAUUAAAAAGGAAGAUUUUGCUUCCUUACCAUCUGAGGAAAAUCAAAAUUAGACACUGUCAAAAUAUGAGAUUUUGCUUUCUUUCUUUUUUACUCCCAACAUGUUGGACUUUGCUGGUCAUUUAUUCAUUUACUCAGUUAGUUGUUGUCUUAGAGGGUAGGCAGAAAGGUACAUGAUUUUUGGUUGAUGUCAAAUUGAGUUAAUAAUCAUGUCAAGAGCGCAAAGUAGAGCGUUUACAUUAUUCAAAAGCAGUAACUCAGAUAUUUUUCGCUGCAAGAUACUGGAUUUGAAAGCACCAGUGUCUUGACUCUAUAUGCACAAAGCAUAUGAUUGAUGGGAAAGUUUCAAAUUAGAAGAAUCUGAUAACGCGCUAGUUAAUCAGGUUUUCUUAAGGCCUCUCCUCUGUUUGUGUGUGGUUAGGCAGGAUAAAAGGGGUACAUGCUACAUAGCAAUGAAUUUACAAGUAUCAUAGUGUGGAUUUUUCUGUUUUAUUUUUUUCUAGAACUUAUGCAUAUUAAUUGAGAAGUUAUGCCGGUAGGCCUUUAUCUAUCCAGAAAUUGUGGAUGAGAUGCAAAAGACAUUAUAUGUUUCAUUAAUCUGUUCGAAAGAUUGGAUUUAUAACAGUUGAAUUCUUCAUAUUGCCAGACAACUUCACAGAUUUACAGAUUAAAUCAUUGCUCAUCACUACUUUAUGUUCAGUUUAUCAAGGUAUAAUGAUAUAUUUGUCUUAUCUGAUUGAUACUAGGGUCACUUUGAAAUCAUUUCACUGUCGGGAUCAUAUGUACAUACUCCUGGGGGAAAGACUGGUGGGAUGAGUGUGUGUCUAUCUAAUACAAAUGGCCACAUUUUUGGGGGUGGAGUUGGUGGACCAUUGACUGCUGCAGGCCCUGUUCAGGUACAUAGUUGAAAAAGUUUCUACAAUAUUCUCUACUUCUCUUGUGCACAUCUAUGAAAAUGAGUAGUUACUUCUGUGCUAAUCUUAUCUUAGUUGCCACUGGUACAUUUAGAAACCUCUUAAAUGCAAUGUCUACUCUUUUAAGUUGGUGUACUGAUUGAUUUUGUUGUUUGUUCCAUGGACAGGUUAUUAUUGGUACUUUUCUGAUUGAUAACAAAAACGAUGUCAAUACUGGUGUAAAAAUGGAGGUGUCUAUCCCCAGGCUGCCAUCACCUGUUGGUGGUACAUCUAUGAUGAAUGUAGGUUUCCGCUCAGCAGUGAACUCUUCUGGAAGAAAUAUGGUCAGGGCAAAUGAUGAGCAACAGCAAGCUAUUGGAGGAAGUCAUUUCAUGACUCAGGGCAUGCAUGGAUCCGCCGAUUGGAGGGCUGGUCCAGAUGUCAGAAGCACUGGUGCUUAUGAAUUGGCAGGUAUAAAGCAUAUUGGUCCUUCUGUACCUUAGCAAUGAUUCAUAUAUAUCAAGAAUAUACACCUUGUAACUGAAGCAAGCUUUUGUUGCAGGAAUAGGUGGUCAUGCAGCCCACCAAUCUCCGGAAAAUGGGGACUACGAUCAAAUUCCAGAUUAGGGAUUGUUUUUUAGAUUUGAAGGCUGUUUUGUCUUAGGUAGAGAGAUGUAUAAUACAUAUCAGCACUUUUUGUCAGCCUAUGCUGCCCGUAGCGUGCACCAUACAUUAGAGAUGACGGAUUAUGAAAGUCAUGCCUGUGACUCUGGUGAUUGAGAUAUUUUCCUCCCUUCAAAAUUGCUCAUUAUGUGUCUUAUAUUGAAUCUGUCUCAUUAUGUGUCUUAUAUUCUCACCAAAAAAAAAAAAAAAAUAGUGUCUUAUAUUGAAUCUGGUAGUUGAAGUUUGUCCAUUCCGAAAUUAUCAUGGUAUUGCAUAAGCUUUUGCACUUUGUAUUACAACCUGAUUUUAGAUGAGAGGUUCACACCAUCUUAAAGUGUUGGGAGUUCAGAGGAAUGAGAUGUCCUUUUGCUUGUUAUUUUCUACUUCAAACUUAUGUUUUGAAUCUCUAAUGAUAUGAAUAAAGCAAUUCAGAGCAGACUAAAAGAGCACGAGAUGAAAUGCUUUAAAACUUAAUGGACGACAAUUAACAAUCAUUCAUGGCGCUCUUGAUUCGCCCCGAGUACUGGUUUAGUACUUUAAAACUGUUGAACAUACAGAAGCAACAUCUAGUGUUGAGGUACUAGCUAUUUCCUAGUGCACAUACGGUUUCUCCGGCAGACGAGUGCGCCGGCAGCAGAAGUUAUGGCUCUGACUUUGGAUGAUUUCUGAGCUUUGACAUCGCUCGAGGCCUUAGCAUAGGCCUCCGAGUUAGCUCCGGUUGCCCCAGACUCAACAAAGUAGGCACCAUUCAAGAACAAAUCUCCUUUAGACCUCCAAUUCCAGUUCUUCCACUCCGACUUGUCACCUGAUGUCCUCUUGGUAACCUGAUUGGAAUAAGGGUACCUUUUCGGAUCAGCCACAAAUCGGUUGCCUUCGCUAUUGAUGGUAGGGUUUGCACUUCCGCCGAUGGCAUAUAUUCCCCAGCCACUGCUGUAGUCAUUGUUCACCACAUGACAAUAACCUUGCCUACAAUGUGGCAUCCUUUGCCGUAGUCCUUCCCCAAAGUGAUUGUAAGCAACAGUCACUUGCAUGACCUUGUCUCCCUUAUAAGAGUUGCUGUGACCAAACAACAUGACCUCAUUGUGGUGCCAUAAGUCAUUGUUCGAGAUUGUGACUGCAGUUGAGGCCAUGACAACAUCCACGAGGCCGUCGGCACACUUGGAUAGCGAGUUGUGAUCAAUCCACACGUCCCUGGACCCGAAAAUCGACACGGCGUCACCAUCUGCCAUUCCUCUCCAACCAAAGUGUGACGGUGUGCUCCUCACCAAGGCAUUCCCCGUAGGCCUGCAGCCAUGGAUAUGGAGGCCAUGUAUUAUGAUGUGCUUGAUGUUUUGGAUCGUAAUGCAUGCUCCAUUCGCAAUGUGAACAUUGGCUCCUCGGCCGUCAAUGGUCUUAUAGCUGUUCAUAAUGAGCUCCUGCUUGAGCUGGAUCACCAUGUCACGCUGGAACACAAUCCAUAAGGGCUCGGUUUGUAUUACAGCAUGACGAAUAGUUCCAGCUCUAGGGUUGACGGCAUCAUUGUCACUAGGGUCAGUGACAACGUAGAACUGCCCGUCGCGGCCGCCGAUUGCGUUCCUGCCGAAACCAAUGGCGCAGGCCGCGAGGCGCUUGCGAUUGUUUAACCAGUUGGUGUCACAUCGCCAACAGUCGUCGAUGGCAUUCCCGGUUACACAUGAUGAGGGUGACCCCCGGAGUUGCAUGAGCUUUCUUUCAGUGCUGUUUCGGAUGAUAAUGGAGACCAUGGAAGCAACUUCCUCGGGGUCAUCGAGUGCUGUUGGUGCAGUUCGUGUUUCGGCAAUGAAGCUGAACACGAAGAGAGCCAAUACACACGAACAAAUCAUUCUCUUGCUCCACUCGAACACCGCCAUUGUUGCUCUUUUUCUCGAACCUAGCUUUUGCCCCUUUCUCAAAAUUUCACUAGCAGUUAUUUCUAACUGGCGGCUAACAUGGAGGCUAGUUUACCAUAACAAAUUGAGGUAAGUUCGGGUGUUUCUUUCCUAGGUGGAAGAGAACGUACUCCUAGAAUCUCAUUGGAAUUAAUUUACUAUAAAGUUUUUACUUGUUUGAUUUCUUUAUGAAUGAGCUUGAUUGUUAGGAAAGGGUGCAGUAAAUCACAACGGAAAUCCAGUUGGAAGCAGCCCUUUUCUACAUGCUAUCUUAAAGCUCGCCAAAUGAUGAGAUUUUUUCGCAUAAAGAAAGGGGAUCAAUAGCCACCUAUAUAUCUUGUAGUUCAAGUUAUCCUCUUAAAUCUAAUUCAUCUGAUUACAUACUCUUUGUAAAUAGAAGAAAAUAUACAAUUUUGAUUGCAAUAUCUAUGAUUAACAUCUUUUACAUUAUGUGGCAUUUCCCAAAUUCACACUAAUAUAAUUUAUAAGAUAAAACAUUUCAGACUAAACUUCUUCACUCUUCACCAGAUUUGUGGUAGGUACAAGUGUAUAACACUCUCCCUCCAAAACCUCCCAAAAACCAUAACCAUACUCUGCUCAUGUCAACUCUGUAAAUGACAUAUGAGAAGUCAUUUGAUCAAAUUCGACUUGGAGAUGUUACUCAUACUUUUAUGCAUCUCAUAUAGGUUAAUGAAGUAGUUGAAUUUCGUGUCUGUAUAUGGAGCAACCAUAUCCAAGUUUGUCUCUUCUUAAUGGAAGCAUAGAUAGAGAUUCCUUCACUUCUAGCUUGUACAAUAAUCUUUGUUAGUCCAACUCGACAUGUUUGAAGUUUUCUUCUUCUUAGUUCCGAUGUUGUCUUCUUAAUCUCCACUUGUUAUAUAUCAUUCCUGCAAUUGAAUUAGUUUGGUAUUUUCUUUUCAAUUGAUUAGCUAGGCAGUUGGAUUAGUAACAAAUCAAAUAAAAGUAUCCGCCGGAAAGUCAAUUCUCUGUAGCAUUAGCAGUCUCUAACCCUCUACGCUACUUGAAUCAAUUAUCUAUUACAAUUUGAUGUAUAUGAAUAAUGAUCGAACACGUCAUAAGAAAUUUAGAUAUUCAUUUAUGAAUUAGAAACUUGAAAGUACAAGAAGAAGUUUGUGAUUGACUGAUUGGUGUUGGAUGAUCAUAAUAUACAGAGUACUAAACAAACAAGGUCUUAGGAUCAAUAUCGCCAUGUCCUGAACAGCAUCAUCACAUAAGUCCAUGACUAGCUCCAUGCCAUGGCCAACACUCAAAAGCUGAGACUGAAGAUCUUAAACCAAGAAUAGAGAGAAACCUGAGCACGUGACACACGUGCUGCUCCUUAACCGCCUUUACCUUAUAACUGCCAAAUUCGCCACGUAUUCCCCCUCUCCCCUCCGCACGAUCAAAACCCAUCGACGGUGGAGAAAGUCCAAACCUUUCUGGAGGAAGAAGACGGUGUGUGUGUCUGUGACUUUGCUUAUUUGCGGCAAAAGUGUGUCUAGGUUCUCUUCACGGACGCGUGUGGGUCCCACGCGCUCCUUCCCCCUUAAACCUCUCUCUCUCUUCGUGAGCAGCGAGACCCCUUUUGUGAGUCAGCUCCUCUGUAGAUGGGUUUUGGAUUUACUUUUUCAAGCUCUUAGCUCUAUUUGGUCUCUUGGGUUUGUUCUAGCUAGUUCAGAUUGUGAGUUUGGUGCUCAAAGUUUGAGUCUUUAUUUGCUUCAAGUGAUUGGUUUUGCUUUCAACACUUAAAGUUUUGAUCUUUGACUUGUUUGAUAGUGAAAAAUUUGAGCUUGUGCAUCAGAGGAGCCACGAGUUGUGUUGUUCUAUUCACUUUGUUUAUUAGUUCAAUUGUUUUAGGAUUUUGAUAAGCAAAAGAAGCAAGCUUUGGUUUUUACAUUUCUUGUUUGUGUUUUGUGGUUGAAGUUAUCAUAUGCGAUUUCUUCACUUGUUCAAUUUGUUUUAAAGGGUUAAUAGAACCCAGAAAAGUAGCUUUAGAGAGCAAAUUGGAUUGUGGAAAUAGAGAAUAGGAGUUUUGCUUUGUCGGAGAUGGGUAGGUUUGAUUUUGAAGUUUUUGCAGGUGGAUAUUUCUGUUUUUGUUGGAAAACCCAGGUGGGUUUUUUUAGAUCUUAGAUUAUGGCAUUUGAGUUUUCAAAACACUUGGUGGGUUUCUGUUCCUUUCUCUAUCUUUUUUUGUGUUUGUUUUCCCAGUGAAUUUUGGUUCAUCAGUUUUGGAAGAUGGUGAAUGAUAGUCACUUGGGUGUAAUGUUGAGAGCAGUAGCUAUUGGGUUGUUAGUUUCCUAUCUAGUGGUAUCUGUUUCAGCCAAUGAUAGUGAAUUUGCGAGUUGUAAUUGUGAUGAUGAGGGUUCUUGGAGCAUUCAGAGUAUUUUGGAGUGUCAGAGACUUAGUGAUUUCAUGAUUGCUAUAGCGUAUUUUUCGAUCCCUAUAGAGCUCAUUUACUUUGUCAGCUGCUCAAACUUUCCAUUCAAAUGGGUCCUCCUUCAGUUCAUCGCGUUUAUAGUCCUCUGUGGAUUGACCCAUUUGCUCAAUGCCUGGACUUAUUAUGGCCCUCAUACUACUCACUCGUUCCAAUUGAUGCUUGCCCUCACCAUUACCAAACUCCUCACGGCCUUGGUCUCGUGUGCAACUGCAAUAACCCUAUUAACUCUUUUCCCUCUUAUUCUGAAAGUCAAAGUAAGAGAGUUGUUCUUGAGGCAGAAUGUGUUGGAGUUAGACCAAGAGAUUGGGAUGAUGAAGAUACAGAAGGAAGCGAGUUGGCAUGUUCGAAUGCUGACCCAGGAAAUUAGGAAGUCACUCGAUAAGCAUAACAUUUUGUAUACAACGCUGGUUGAGCUUUCAAAGACAUUGGACUUGCAUAACUGUGCAGUUUGGAUGCCUAAUGAGAACAGGACAGAGUUGAACCUGACUCAUGAGUUGAAAGGGAGUUCUUCGAGAAAUUAUAGUCAUUCUAUUCCAAUGAAUGACCCAAAUGUGUUGGAGAUCAGAGAGAGCAACAGAGUAAGAAUCCUGAGGCCUGAUUCUGCACUUGGAGCUGCAAGUUGUGGUGGUUCUAGUGAAUGUGGUGCUGUAGCAGCAAUCCGGAUGCCAAUGCUUCGAAAUUCAAAUUUCAAAGGGGGUACACCACAGUUAGUUGAUACUCCUUACGCUAUAUUGGUUUUGGUUCUUCCGAUGUCAGAUUCUAGAGUUUGGAGCUAUCAUGAAAUGGAGAUAGUGGAAGUUGUGGCUGACCAGGUUGCAGUGGCACUGUCCCACGCUGCAGUACUUGAAGAGUCUCAACUAAUGAGAGAGAAACUGAGAGAACAAAAUCGUGCACUACAGCAGGCUCAGAAGAAUGCAAUGAUGGCCAGCCAAGCAAGAUACUCAUUUCAGAAGGUGAUGAGUAAUGGAAUGAGAAGGCCGAUGCAUUCCAUUUUGGGGUUGCUGUCAACAUUUCAAGAGAGUAUGAGUUUGAAACAAAGGAUUAUUGUAGACACUAUGGUUAAAACUAGCUAUGUUCUCUCCACUUUGAUAAAUGAUGUCAUGGAGAUGUCAGCAAAAGAUAAUGGAAGGUUCCCUCUGGAGAUGAGGCCUUUUCAACUUCACUCCAUGAUCAAAGAAGCUUCUUGCCUCGCCAAGUGCUUGUCUGUGUAUAAAGGCUUUAGGUUUGAAGUUGAUGUUCAGAGCUCAUUGCCUAAUCAGGUGAUGGGGGACGAAAGAAGGGCUUUCCAAGUAAUCUUGCAUAUGGUUGGAUAUCUUUUGAGCACCUAUAAGGGAGGAGGAACUGUCAUCUUUCGGGCUAUUCUAGAGAGUGGUUCUGAGACCCCGGAUGAUAAAUUGCAACAGAUGUGGAGAACAGGUACACCAGAUGAGUACGUAUCUGUGAGGUUCGAAUUGGAGAUUAAUGACGGAACUUCUCAUUCCAGUGGAGUAUCAUCGAUGAUUGAUUACGGUGGUAGGAGGAACAACAGCAGUGAAAUAAAGAAGGGCCUGAGCUUCAACAUUUGCAAAAAGAUUGUCCAGGUAUGUACUAUAGAUGAUUGAUCUACUUUUGUUUUACUUAUGUAAGAUUUCAAGUCAUAUUACAUUUGUUGCUCAGAAGUGAGACCAGUUUCUUUUCUUCUUUUUUUCUGUUAAUGACUACAUGAACUAGGUGGUAGCACCGUAUUAGUGAUCAUUUUUUUGCUAGUUUUUAAUGGAAGUCAACUGUUUUACAUCUAAGAAGGUUUUGGUCUGGUGUUUCUAUUAAGGGUCUGAAUAAGACAUAUGUAUUUACUUUUGCAAAGCAAAAUGGUAUUGGACACCAUAUAUUAACAUUUGCCUUACUCUAAUUCUUUGUUACAUUAAUUCAGACUUAUGGAACUGGUUCUACUUUUGAUAGAUGUUCGUAUAGUCUUCAUCAACUCUAGGAUCAUCAUUGCCUUCUAUAAUCAAGGAAGCCUUAAAAAUUUCUAACUUGUGAUAAGUGAUGUUGAGUAGAUGCUGUCCAAAGUACUAGUAUAGGGAACAAGUUAUAUCUAAGGCAGAAAUAAAAUAAUUCUUGACCUAUUUGCUUAUAAAACAUUGUAUACACUUCAAUUCGAGUGAAAAGUUUGAUACUUUGAUUCACUAUUUACAGGGAAGAUUAUUUAUUAUGUGAUAAGCUUUUCCUUUUAUAAAUCAGCAUUCUCUUUGCAUUUGAAGCUGUUAAAAAACAUAUUGCAUCAUAUUAACAAAUUUCAAGAAGGUUUUCAAAACUAUUACCAUUAUCAUAGCUUGCAUCUUUGUCAGAUAAAUACCCCUUUUUUUCAUUCUUUGACUUGCUAAAAUUGUCCGCAUCUGUCAAUUUACAGUAAAAGAACAGAAUAUAUUAUCUCAGUAUGUUGGCAACUUAUGAGUCAUGUGUAAUGAAACUCCUGCAGAUGAUGCAAGGCAAUAUCUGGAUAUCCAUGAAUCCGAUCAAUCUCGCAGAAAGCAUGACACUUGUUCUCAGGUUUCAAAUCCUUCCUUCUUUAGGGAGAGGAAAUCCAUUGGAGCAACCAAAUUCCAACUCAGAGUUCAGAGGACUCCGGGUUGUAGUAGCGGACGAUGAUAAUGUAAACAGGACCGUGACCACAAAGCUGCUCCAGAAACUUGGCUGUCAAGUCAGUGCUGUUUCUUCGGGGUUUGAAUGCCUGAGUACCCUUAGUAGUGCCGAAAGUCCUUUCCAGGUUGUUGUUCUGGAUCUUCACAUGCCUGAAAUGGAUGGAUUCGAAGUGGCAAUGAGAAUCAGGAAAUUCCACAACCCUAGUUGGCCGCUGAUCAUAGCCCUGACCGCAAGUGCGGAGGAAGAUGUGUGGGAGAAAUGUCUACAGAUGGGAAUGAACGGACUGAUCCGAAAACCUGUCAUUUUGCAAGGGAUGUCAAACGAGCUCCGGAGAGUAAUGCAACGAGCCGGUGAAGGUUUGUGACUGAGGAAGCAAGUCAUAAACUCCAGAUCCUCUCAACUCCAAUGACAUAUAUAAAACCGAAUCUCCACUUUAGAUUUUGCUAACCAUGUUCUUCAUAUUACUGGUAUUAAAUACCAAAUAAGUAUGAUAGAUUUACAUAUGAUAGUUUUAUAUGAUGCUAAAGCCAAGCUAGGAUACUCAUAUUCAUGUAAAAGUGACAACAAUGUUAUGAUUCAUCUACUGAGAUAUUUCACUCUCGCACUCGAUUCAAAUCGAUUCUGUUGCUCUAUGAAAUUCAGUUCACUUGAGCUUAUGAACUUACCAGCUAAGAAAAUUUGAUCUUACCAAUACAUUAAGCACUAAAUUACUAUGGUAAAAAAGUUGAAAAGUCAAUUUUAGUCUUUUCUAUUUACCUGAUCAUCACAUGAUUCCAAGGACAAAGUGGACAUUCACUCCUGUCUCUGCUCUUAAACCUCAAUAGUUGUUACGUGAGGGAGGAAAGCGACGCCGUUUCUCUAACCUCCGGCGGAGAAGAGAAGAAAGAUGAAGAAAGCAGAGUACUUCAGCAAGGACUUUGAGUGGGACGAGCUGAGAGUUGAGGUGGAAAACGACCCGUCGUUGAGCUACCACUUGGUCCCAUUCGAGCCCUCUCUUUCAGUUGCAGAAGAAGAAGAAGCUGAAUCUCAGCCGUGGAAUGACUUUCAUCACCGCCAUGCAUCUGGGAAGUUCUUCAAGGUCUCUAUCUCUUCACCCUUUUCAUAAAGUUUCAAUCUUUGAAUGUAAUUCUAGUUGUUUGGGUUAAGUUCAUGAGGUUGUUCUAUAUAUGUGUACCCAAAAAUGUGAAUAGAGAAGUUUGAGUUUAUUAUAGUUUGAGGAAACAAUAUAAAGUUUGGAUCUUUAUGUGUGAUUAUAGCUUUAUAUGAUCAAUUGUGACUUGGGUUUGAAGUUUUGAGAUAAUUUAGAAGGACCCUUUGAAUCAGUUUUUGUUUUGGAUAGUUUUUCGGGUUUGAUUUGGACUUAUGGCCUUAAAGGAUACUUAUGAUUCAUUGUGAUUUUCGAUGCAGGAAAGGCGAUAUUUGUUGCAAGAAUUCCCUGAACUAGUUGGGUGUGAGGAGAAUUCUAAGGUUUUGGAGGUGGGGUGUGGUAAUGGCAGCACUGUUCUUCCAAUAUUGAGGUAAUGUUCCAAAAUAGAGACGAAUUUAUGUAGGUAUUGUUAUUGAUAAGCACUUAUACGCCUAACCAAUGUGAACUAUGAAUUUGCUGUUAUGACAUAUUUGUUUUUACAAGGUGCUUAUUUCCUUUGCAGGGGCAAUGAGAAAGUCACUGUUUACGCAUGUGAUUGUAGCACUGAGGCCCUUGAGAGAGUUAAGGAGACAAUAUAUGCUUCCAACAUUGUUUCUAUUGAGCAUCGCUUCCAUACAUUUUGUUGUGAUUUUUCUACCUCUGGGUUUCCAUCAUGGUUGGCCUGCAAUCCUUGUCAAGCAAAUUUUGAACAAACUUCAGGUUAAUUCCUGAUUUCACUGUUUAUAUUCUCAUACGUGAAUUCUAAUAAAUCCCUUUUGCAGUAUAAUAAAUUCAAUUUCUAUUUGUUUUUCCAGAUGGUAGAGGGAAAAACGAAAGCUAUCUUACUGAUUCAAGUUCAUUGAAAGAAAGCAGAUGUUGCAUUGGUGGGGUUGAUUUUGUUACCUUGGUAAGCAUUCUUUACAUCAAACAGUGACAAUAUGGUUAACAAUGGGAUGGUUGAGUAACCUUCUAAACUAUAGAAACUAAAAGAACAACUUGAUAUCUGAUCUCAGUAUUCUUGUCUUUUAAAAGUUGUAGCAGUUGAUAAAUUUUGAUGAUGCAUCUGCUUACCAACUUCUAUGUUCAAAGGCUAUAUACAGUACAAAGUGCAUUGGUUAUCAUUUUAAUAUGUGGCGUAUUACAUCAUAAUAUUAUCUGGCAUAGGUUUUCAAUUGCCAAUGUACAAUUGCAUAGGCUUUAUUAAUUCCUUUGCUUUUAAAUCAAGUUCACCCCUAUUACUUUUACUUUGCGUUUACUUUUUCCUUUGUGUCUGAUAUGGCUGCUUCAAUUGGUGGAAUUUGGUGAGUUGGUCAAUAGAGAAAAUCCUCCACUUAUCUGAGACAGCUCCCACAGCUCCUAACUCACUCAUCCUUGUGAUUAAUACCUUGGUUGUCACUUAGAACUUUCUGAAUACUUACAUCUAUCAUGAAGUUCUUGUUAAAAGGUACCAAAGAUAAAGCUUAUAGGGGGUAAAAUUACAUAGCUUGCUCAAAUAGAAACAGACCUGGGAAUUUGCUGGACCCCAAUUAGACUUUUUCAAAAUUUACUUAUUUCGCUUUUUGACUACUGUGUAAAUCUUAAGUAGGCUUAAGACUGGUAUUUCUGUUUCAGACGGACAUGGUGCUCCUCUGUUUUGACUUGUGAUUUGAGUUGUGAUAAUGUAAUACUUUUCCAACAUAAAAAAUAAUUUGUCUUCUUUUUUGGUGAUUUAAGUUCCUUAUUAUAAUGUUGAAUGGCAGAUAUUCACAUUGUCGGCAUUAUCACUUCAAAGGAUGCCAAAGUCCAUCAAUGAGUGUUUUUCUGUUAUGAAACCAGGAGGCCUGCUUCUAUUUAGAGAUUAUGGUAAUUGACCAAUUCAAAUCUGGUUUGGAUUUGGAGUUGUAAAAGGUCUUAAAGAGCUCUUAUACUUCAUUUUUUUUCUGGAAAAUUUUUCUCUAAUGUUUUUCCUGCUGACAGAAGUUCGGUGUGAUGAAAUUCAGGCCUUUAUGACAUGAGCAUGCUUCGGUUUGAGAUGGACAAAAAAGUGGGAUUCAGGGAGUAUAUGCGGUCAGAUGGCACCCGUUCUUAUUUCUUCUCUUUGGGUACUGUAAAGGAUCUAUUUUUGGGAGCAGGCUUUAUUGAGGUACAAAUGAGGGGAUUAAUUAUUUCAUCAUAUUGUCAUUACACCUAUUUGUCCAAUAAACUGGAAAUUAGAUUCUUUUAUCCCAUCUAAUUUAGUUUGUUCCUAUUAACUGGUGGUUGGGGUUAACUUUAGGAUUAAGAAGGCAAAGCCGAUAGAUAAAUUAUGCACCUGAUUGCUUUAAUUUUAAACUAAUGUUCUAUCAUCAUGCUUUUGUCAUCUUGAGCUUGAACACUGCUAAUGUUUUAUCAUCAUGCUUUUGUCAGCUUGAGCUUGAAUACUGCUGUGUCAAGUCGGUGAAUCGUCGAAAUGGGAAGAGCAUGCGAAGGGUGUGGGUUCACGGAAAGUUCCAAAAGCCUAUAUGAACUAUGAAGUCUAUUGCUGAGAUGCCUCUUGAAGAAUCCUGCAUACUCCUACUGUUACAGUGAAGUUUCUUGUAGAUAGCAAUUUCAUGGAUCUGCAUUAUGGUAAAGGCGCACAGACUUGGUUCUGGGUUGAAUAUCUGAGCAAAAGCUAUUAGAUCAAAGGCUGGAAUUGAAUGGAAAUGAUCAGAAUUUUUUGCCUAGUGAAAUCAUUGUGAGUCAUCUCACUGGAUAAUGUGCCCAUACAAUGAACUGUAACAAUGCACCAAGGUUUUAGGCUUUGAUUUUCAAGGGACGGUUUUCGGGACCUAAUAAGUAAUAACUCGAUGAGUAGAAUCUGAUAUGAAAGAUUGAAACAUAAUUGUACAUCGUCGAUGAUGCUAUAGAUUUUAUCAUCUCAUCUGCAUAAUAAUCCAUGGAACAAUAUGCGACUAACCCAGACAAUCAAGCCUUGUAUCCUUAGCUUUACUUAUAUGUCAAGCAACAGUUUACAAGCUCAAGUAUGAGCAAUGCCAAUGCAUAACUGCAUAGUAAGAACUAAAGAACUCACUCAGUCAGUCUAGCUACUGAGCUACAGCAAUGCUCGCAUCAUCCACGUUUUUACGGUUCUCGUAGUUCAACGUCCAUUUUCUUUGGUCAAAGGGGGAACCCAUACCCAGCUCCUUUGGAAUGGGUACCAAUUAUCGAACCAAUCUUUUUGUCCCAUCUUAUCUUACUAUUCCUACAUUUGUCUUUUCCAAAGUAUGAACCUGAACUCCUGAAGGCCAUGAACCAUGGCCUCUCAUUUGUCUGGAAAAUAAAAAUAAAAAUUCACGUUGUUUCUCUCUGGGGUUUCCAUAACCGUUCCAUUUCAAGCAGUGAUCCUAUAUUUAUAAAAAAUUUGCCAAUGAUAGAUGCGUAUGCAAUCAAAAAAUAUAUCUCAAACAAGUUAAGGUUGGCAUAUGGUACAACUUUAGUUUAUACAAGUAAUCUAUCAAUCAAAUCAUAAGCGACUCAAGUAGCUAUAGUGUUCCUCAUUUUAUAUAUCUAUUUUUGGGGGCUCAGUAAUAUAUCUUUGAUGCAUAUGAUAUCAAAUACGGUUAGGAUUGCAUAUGAUAUCAUAUGAAGGAUGUGCGUCUACGUUUUAGGAUUAAGGAAUAGAAAAGAGAAGCAAUCUGAAUUGAAAAUAAUGGUUGAUAUGAUAGUUUGAUAUGCGCAUACACUUUUCUAUAUCAGAUUAACAGAUUGAAAUGAUUAAAAGACGAAUGUGCAUCUCCACUGUUUGAGUUUUGAGCAUAGUUUAGGCUUAUCUAGCUGGUUUCACCUCGAGUUGUAACUUAAUUAGUAAUUAGUAUUCUGUUUGUUGCAAUUGUUUACUAUUGGCAUGCACAUCGUCGACUAUGUAUUAUAAUCUAACAGCAAAGAGAGCAUGAUUUGGUGUGUUAACUAUUUACGGUAACCUUAUUCUUGAUCAAGAAAACGAGAAUAUGUUAUUUUGAACUGUAUAUAUUUUUUUAGAUGUGCCGGACAUAGACCCGCAAGAACAAAGAAAAUUAACAUCGGAACUCAACAAAAACCAACUCAAAACAAAAGAAACUAAGUAAUUGACUAAAACAUAAGUUGGGAAGAUCCAGACAAUUACUAUUACAAAAGAAGAUGAUAUAAUCGACUGUCAAGUAGCACCAUAUUAUAUACUAGAUGUGUUCAUGUCAUGAUUAGCCAAACCAAUCCCACAUCGCUUUCCUUCGCAAAACAUAUCAGAAAGAGUGAAACUACAAUUGAGAAAUAUGGUGUAAACAGUUUCUCUAGUACAUACACCUAGCUAGCUAAGAUAAUACACCUAGCUAGCUAAGAUAAGUUUAGACCAACUUACUAAAUACGCUUCUAAGAUCUCCAUCACCCAUGUCAAUUCAAUGGAUCAUCACGACAAUAACUUCUGCGCAUCUUUUGUUAGUCACUUACAAUAUAAAAAUAGCGAAACACGUACCUAAAACAGAAUAGUCACUACACUCGAUAGCUAUAGAUAUACAUUUCUAAAUGCUAUAUAUCAUGACUUGAAUAUUUAUAAAGAGAAGCUAGAAUGUCAAAUUAAGAAGAAAGCAUACUUGGUACUAAUUAUUAAUUAACUAGCUCAUAUCAAUCGAAUAAAACUUGAAGAUGCCCUAGUUAACCUAUGGCAUCCAAGAGGCACUCGUAUGAAAGUUAGGUCAACUAUAUGAACUCGCCUGCAUAUAUAAAAUCCGGCCAAAACAACGUGCACUCCACGGCAGGUCCAUUCUAUAACAUUUUAAUCCUCUCGGUUUGCAUCACCAUCCGGUCAUUAUCAUAUUCAUCUCCCUCUCAGAGAGUUGGAAAGUGAUCGCCAAGUCACCAACACAUGCUCCUCCAUAUUUCUCCACUGGUGAUGAUGAUGUAUAUGAUUCCCCAAUAUCGAUUAAGCCUCACAUUAGUUUAGUUAACUUAACCAGUUAACUAGUCAGAUGCUCAACCUUAUUGGGUUGUCCUCAUUUGCUUAAUGCACCAGGUUUUACGGAUUCUCCAAUUCAAAGUAUUAUAGUUUAGUAAACUUAAGACGUCGUUCAAACAUGACUGGAGGCUUUUUAAAAUGUUGGUAAAACUACACCAGCAAAGACAAAACAACUACUACUGGUGCAGGAAAAAAGGAUAGGAUUAAUUUAUUUGUUAAUGUUAGUCUUAAUCCAUAAUUGUUAUCUUAAUCAAAGGCUAAUGGGGACUUAAUCAAUAUUAAACUACCCAAAUGGGGUCUGCAUAGGCGCAUUAGCAUAAACAAAGCUGCUUUACCAUACGAAUGUUGUGUGCAAAUUAAUUACUAGGAAAUAUAUAUACCAAAUCAUCAACAAAUUAGGGUUCAUAGCUAGAUUAAACAAAGACCAUGUGAAUCCAUGUGAAGAGGGUCCUCCAUGUUACCAAGAGAACAUCCUUUUUGAAGAGAGACACUAUUAUAUGAUCGAGUUGCGGUUUUGGUAUAAAUUACUUUAGUGUUUAGCCUCUUUCUAUAUAUGAUUUAACUUAUAAGAUCGAGUACCAUAUAUAGCAUAGAACGAUGAUCCAUUGUGGAAGCUCUAGUAGUUAAAUAAUUGAGGUUUAAGAUGAGACUUAGUUGUUAAACAUAUCUACUACUAAAUCAUAUGAUCUAAUCUUAAAUUUCGUCGUGCUCCUCUGCUCACUUCUUUUUAUGUCCCAUCAAAAUUAAAACACACUCUUUAUAUUAGCUUAGGGUUAGAAUUCAUUAUUUUAUAUACCCGAAGGUCUGACAUCUGUUUUUUAUGUAUAGUUUUAGCAGUGCUUAACUUUUUAUUUUUUUGUUGGAAUAUCCAACCAAACAUUGAUACACUAUUUCUAACUUGAUGUUACUGUUUUACAAUUAGAAGAGUCCCUUGUCCAUCCAUACUCAAGUGUGAAUAAAACAUCAGUGGUUAAUACAAAUUUGCUACAUAAAUAUUAGUGAAUCUCAAUUAGAAAGUCUAGGAAGGCUUGAUUAGUAAUUGACUAAUUCCAUAAAUCACAAGGCUAGUUAUAUUGCUCCACUGAUAUAACUAUUAGUAGUACUUGGUAGCACUUGAAGGCUGAUAAAUUGGUCAUCAUAACUUCCCAAACUCAUAUAUAACUUCCCAAGGAAUAACUUUAAAUAUUUGCAUGAUAAAUUGGUCAUCCAUUGCUCAAUUUAUACGCACAUUCAUGGACUAGAAAAUGUGAUAGAUGUCAGGAAGAACUUGUUGCAACUUAUUAUAGUAUAAGGCUAGCUAGCUCUUCUGUCUGGCUCUUCAAUUACACAUACUUUCAAUUCGGAUUUUACGUACAUAUAUAUAAAAUACGGAGUGCUUGGUGAAUAUAAAUAAUUUUAGAUAUAUAGCGGUAGCCAAAGUUGGACAGCAAUGUUGUACUGGUUCUAUAGAACAACCUGCAUAGCUAUUAGUUUAUAGAAAAACGUACAGCUAUAUACUUAUUAAAGUACAAGAGAAACAAAGGGGAUGAUCAAAAGAACUAGAGAAACAAAGGUGAUGAUCAAAGACCAAUCUAUAAGGUGGUCGAAAAUCAAAAAAUAAUGCAAUUGAGAGCGUCCAAACCAUUUUGUAUGAAUUGUUUUCACUUAUACUUCUUGCCUGCAUCUUGCCAGAAUUGUUUGUUUAUUCUGUUUCUUAUAAAAUCUACCAUUUCUAACAGACCGGUCAAAUCAGCCAAUUAGAUCGGUAUAUGUAAAAUUUUAAUAAUACCAGAUCCCACAAGAAUAUAUAAUUAAUUAACGUGCAAGAAUAAAAUACAAAGUCCAAAUAUUAUGAGAAAAAAACUAGAUUUAAAAUGCAUCACACUGCAGAUCAAGCUAGGAAAAUAUGUACCAUCUAAAUUAUAAAUUACAUGGUACUGUUAAUUUAACAAAUAUUACUAGUUGAUAUAAAUUAAGCAAUGGAGUACGUAGUAGAGUGUACUAGCUAGUUAGUUUCUAACAGAAGAGAAUUUCGACAAGGAUGAUGAUUAUGAAUUGCAAAGUGAGAGCUUCUAGCAUAUAUCGUUAUUGCAAAUAUACAGAGCAUAGUACUUCUCAUGAUGACGAUCAUCUUCUUCUUCAAUACCUCUAAAUAAAGUUCAAGCACAGAAUACAGCUAGAAAUACAUGCAGAGACCGCUAGCUCAACCUAAUUAAUUCCCUUCAAUUCUUCAUCUCGAUCUCAAAGUUAAGAUUUCAAAGAGUAGAGCAUCUUACUCUUUGGCUGAUUCGAUUAAAAUGGAGGUCUACCUCCACCAUGAGCCCAAUUUGAAUAUGCUUCAUGGCUCAACUGCCCUCCGCCGUUGGGAACCAAACUUGGUGGCAAAUUGUAAACCCCGGGCGGCAUAGAUGAAUUCGGAUCUCCCAAACUUCCACCAAUACCGGGUGGCGAUGAGCCACCUCCACCCGGCUGCCCCGAAUUCGGAGCAGGCGGCUGAUCAUCCUCCUCUUGAUCCAAGGGCAGUCUUUCAUAAGUAGCAUUAGAGAAAGUGGCUGCUAUUACCAUGACCGGUCCUGAAGCUACAAGAGGUCCCACCACGCUUCCUCCGACGACCUGCCCCUGCCCGCCGGCCAAGUAUAUCGUCAUUCCGGUCGCCCCCGGCGGUGCUGGCCCGGGAAGAAACGCUCCGGUCAGGGAAAGAAUCUCGAACCUUCCAUGGAGGGCCAUGACCGCUCCGGGAGCUGAAGGCUGCCUUAGCGUGACGUUGGUGACGGUUCCGCUUCCACUCAUCACACAGACGCCUCUCUGCCUCGCCCUAGCGAACUGCGCCACGCUCUCAGCUAUGUCGGCGCCGUUGGCGAUCUCCAUGACGUGGCUCCGGAGGGCGUUGGGGCUGUCCCUUGUGACAAAGAUGGGAGGUUUCGGCUUGUUUUUAGACCCCGGAGGGCGCCCUCUCGGGCGCCUGUUGCUGCCUGAGACUUCGAUGGCCCCCUCCUUGGGGUCGUCGCCGCUGACGUUGUCCCUGUCAUCAUCUUCGUCCCCGGCUGAUCCUGAUCCACCCCCACCACCCAGGAGGUGGCUGGUGGAGCUGUUGUUCAUGGAGAUUCCCAGAUCUGGUUUCAUUAACGUCAUCGGAGAGCUACUGCCAGCUGAGCCUUCGUGUUUCAGUCCUCCGGUUAAACCCACCUGACCAGCCCACCACGGAUUCGACAUGUUCUUAAUUAUACUCUAGUUAGGAGCUAGCUCGAAGAAGAAGGAACUACAGACAUACAAGGAAGAAAGCACUCUUUUUGUGAGCAACUAAUAAAGAGUGUAGUGUAAGAGAGAGAUCAGGAAAAACAAAGGUUCUGGUUUUAGGGUUAACUUAAGGAGGUGGCCGGGUGUGUGCUUUUGUUAAAGGAAGGACCUGAAGUUCAAGGCUUAUGUGUGUUUCUCUGAGUGAGAGAAUAGGUGAGAUGGAAAUGAUGGGGGAAUUAAGGUGGUAUGUGUCGGUCUUGGGAAUUAGGGUUUUUGUUAUUGCGUGGGGGUCACGUGCAUGCGCGUGACAACUGAGAAGGUGGCCUGCACGAUCCUACAUAAGACUGGUUCCCUUUGCAAUUGCAAAGAGAAAAAGACCGGUGAGGGAAUCAACGAUCUCAGAGUUUCUGAGUUUUCAUAUUCAUCUGCUUAAUUUCAUAGGUCAAAGCUUGAAUCAACUGAUCACCUACUUCUCCCUUUCUAGCUAAUUGAUAAUUAUGCUUACUUGCCACGAAAGUUCUCUGUAUUUGGAGUUUGUGACCGCAUUCUGGUUUUCAGUUUUCAGUCUCCGAUCAAUAUGUAACUGGCUAGUGUAUUUGGAGUUUGUGGCCGCCCUGGUGUUGUUUCCCGGGCUGUUUCCUGAUUUCUCAGGCUAAACAUCAUAUCUGAUUUCUUGUAUUCUAUAUCUCUCUCCAUAUAUUUAUGUAGACAAAUCAUGCAUGUAAUGAGUUGUAAGUAUAUACAAGGCCUAGGACAUGUAAACAUACUUAAAACUUGGAAUUCGAAUCACUCGGGUUAACUAGCUAAUUGUAUAAUCAACUAGAGCUAUCAAGCUUAAGAGUUCCAAGACUUAAAGUUGAUCUAUAUUAUAUCGAGUGCGCCCAUGUAAUACAUUCAAAAUUGAUGCUGAGAUUAAAUGCAAUAGAACUUAGAUUUUGCAUGAUUUAGCACGUUAGGAUGUGCCAUGGAUACUCCUAAAAUGACUAACAUGUCGAAUGAGUUGCAUGUCAUCUAUUAUAUGUAGCAUCAAUACAUUAGUUGCAUCGAUCAUAGCUAGAACUUUUGACUAAUAAUAUAUUGAUUACACAUAGGAUUUCAUAAGUAUGGGCAAACCCAUUAUUUUUGAGAAAUCAGCCCUGUUGAUAAUAAGUUUAGGUCUCCUAGUCGAUCGAAGUAUCAAAAUUUUAAAACCCUCUAACCCUAAUUAAGUUCGAAGAUCGUCUUUGUAAUCUUCUAAUGUAAAAACUAAUUGUAGCACUCUCUCAAUGUUCCAGCAAUGAGAAAUCAUUAUGAUUAGUCUUCAAAAUUCGCUGUCGCAAAUUUGAUCUAACAUGUGUUGUUGUCUUUGUGAUCGCCUUUGUGAUGUUUCUAAUGUAAUAUACUAAUAUUUAACCGUACACGUAGUAUACUCUUGAUAUCACGUCCGGGUUAUUUGAAAUGCGCCUUCUCGUUUUUUUUAUUUUAAUUUUUUUUAAAUGGUUGCAUCUAGUGGCUAAUUUCAUCAAGUUAGCCACUAGAUGCAUAUUUAGUUCUACUGAAGAGCUUGUGGUUUUGAAGAAAGUUGGGGUUCAAUGUCAGCCCCGGCGUGCUCUAACUGGCACUGGUUAUGGCGGGGUAUUUCGUGAUUACAGUGGUAAAGUUAUGGGUGUUUGUUGCUCUAACUUGGACGUUCCAAGCUCUGUUGCUGCUGAAGUUAUGGCUGUUAAAGUUUGUUUUUUGUUUUUGUUGGGAGUGGAGUUAGGUCUCUCAUACUAUGAUGUAUUCAUCUUUUUUCUUUUAAAUAAAUUACUCUCGUUUCAUCGAGGUUUAAAAGAAAAGAAAAAAAAAGAAUCCCAACCUAGCUGGGAGGCUCAACCUCACACUCGUAGUUAUUAUUAUUAGAUGAAAUAGCCAAAUAGGAUACACUCAGAGAGGACAUUAUACGAAACGUGCCUUCUAAAGUCAUGGAAACCUUGUUUCUUAACCAUAGUAGUCUUUGGAUUACGAAGCAAAAGAAACAAAAAUCCGAUUAGGAUUAGGAUCACCAUAUUUGGAUUGGGACAGUUGGUGUUGGGUUGUCGAAGUUGGGCUUAUACACAACCCGGGUCAUCUUCUUCCAUAUACAACCGGGUUUUAGUCACACUCCUCUGUUCCUUCUUCUUCUUCGUUUUGAGAGAGAGAAUGGCCGACGACUUGUUUGGAGGUCUGCCUCCUCCUUCUUCUGCAAACCCUCUUCCCUCUUCCGAGCCUCAACAACCCAAACCCAAACCAAAGUUCGCUGCUUUUACUACAGACUCUUCUUCCUCUACACCAUCUCCAGCUGAAGCUCCACAACCAGUUCUGAAAAGCGCGUUGAAGAAGCCUAAACAGCCUUCUGAGCCGAACCCAGUUCUCAAAAGCGCCCUCAAAAGGCCCAAGGAACCCUCUGAACCAAACCCAGAAGGUAAUUCUUCAUCCUUUUUCUUGGGUUUUGAUUAUAGGGAUUCAAAACCCUGGUACUAUUAGCAACUGCAGUGAAAAAGGUUCAAUUUUUACGUACAUUGUUCUUGUUUUGUGAUAAAGUUAUCUUCAGGUGAAAAAACAUUAGAUACGAAAAGAAGGUAAGCUUUUAAUUGUUGGCCUCUAGGCUAUGCUAAGAAGAAGACUUUUGUCUACAGACUAGGUUGAAUUAGAAACAAGAAUUUGGGUAUAGCUAAUUCAUACAGUACUAAGAAUCCAAAAGGUAGAAAACGACUCCAAGGUUUGAUGAUCCUUCAGAAAAGUAGGACUCAAAUUUAUCAAUCUGUUUUGCUAAUAUACAGUUUUGAAGUUUGAAACCGGCUUUUAACGGGUUUUGUUACCCCUCAGUAAGGGAGAGAAAUUGUAUUCUUUGAAUUGUGGAAUGUUUAUGUGUGCUCUCUUGUUUUCUCUUCUUCUCCUUUACUCGUUGUUCAUUCGCCCCCCCCCCCCCCCCCCCCAAUGUGGGAUUAUGGGUCUUAACAUUCUGUUGGCAUUUUUAAGUAAUUGGUUUUUGCAGUUCAUAUUAAAGAAAUUACAUGGCUGGAACUGUUUUUAACAUUUUAAUUAUUGUUGUUGAUGUUAAUGAUUCACAGCCACUGUGCCUGGAAAGAAGUUGAGGUUUAAAACCACGACAGAUGCCUCAGAGCAACAGGUUAUAGAGGCCAUGCAGAAGAUAGCUUCACAUAUAAAGAAUUCUACAAAGUUUGGGAAGGCUUCAAAGCUUGCCAUCCAGCUAAUUCAGGCCGGAAGUGUCAAAGCCGAAACUAGUGAUUACUUUUUUUCCAUAUUAGAGGCCGCGAUGACAUCAUCUACCUCUUGCACAGAUCCUUCCAUACGAGCAGAUAUCCAUGCAUUGUUCUCAACAGCACAAGAUGCCUAUGAGGUAAGCUUUCAAGUCUAUAUAGCACAAAACAAUGUUUAAAACUCUGUAAAUUUGUAUUUCAAAUACUUACUGACAUAAGCUUUUACUUUUUAUGUUUAGUGUCUCAAUAAGAAGCAAAAGAAUCAGUUAACAACUUGGACGAUCAGAGCUGUGGUGGCAAAUGAUCUACUCACUGAUGACAGCUUCCUGGUAAGAACUUUUCUCAUGGAAUAGCUUGUGAGCAGACUUCCUGAAUCAUGUAAUGCUUGCCUAUUUUUUGGAUAUGAUAUGAUGACAAGCGCGGACCCUGGAUGGGCAUGUUAACUGUACCUUUUUAGUAUAAUGCUUACCUCUUUAGUAUGUGUCUUUAACCGUACCUACAUGAUCAUUGUUAUUACUCUUUAUUGUCAAACAAAUGUUCUAUAGCAUAUAAUUUGACAAUACUAAUGCACAUUCUUUCAGGUUUUGAGUGUAUAAUUUACUUGAAAUGAAUAUGCACAUCAGCGUUUCGAUUUAUAGGAGUAUCAUAACAAAUGAAUAUGCACAUCAGUAUUUUGAUUUAUAGGAGUAUCAUAACAAUCGAUUGCUGUCUUGUUAUUAUUAAUGAAUAUGCACAUCAACAUUCUGUUUGCUAAUGUACUUUACUUUCUCCUUGCUGAGUUAUGAUUGGGGUUGCUUGAUAAAAUAUUAGAUUAAAACAAUAGGACAAUAUUGGUUUAGUAUUUUAUAAUGUAUAGUUAUGUUGGCUUGAACUUCCUUUUUUGUGUGUGAUAUGUUCCCAUGCCUUCCCUUCUUUUUUUCCUUUUCCUUUUCUCAUUUUCAUUCUUUCAUUAUGUGAACUUUUACGAAGUUUUCGAAAACAGCUCGACAAGUACAAGAAGCAAUAUCUAAUCUGCCAGUUGCAACUGAGGAUGAUGACAGAGAUGAAUCAGCUGUCCUGGAAGAGGAAACUAAAACAACAGAUGAGGAUAAUUUAAUGAAGAAGGACAUGACUUCAGAAAUACCAGAUGAAGAAAAUAAUGAGGAAGAGUCAGAUCCAUUUGGGCUUGAUGCAUUUUUACCUCCGAGCUCUGUGAAGAAAGGAGAUAGAGUAAAGGGAAAGAAAGUUGCAACUCCCAAAGACAGGGAGGAGGAAGAGACCAAGAUAUUCCUCAAGUCACAGAGAGAAGCCUUGGUCCUUUGUUUAGAGAUAGCUGCUCGGCGUUAUAAAACUCCAUGGUAAGAUUCUUGUAAACUCAAUCUUACCUAUGCUUUCUGGUGAUAUCCAAGGUACUGUUCUUGCAUUUAUCGAGCAAGACUUUCUUAUUCUUUUAUUUGAUUUUACUUUUCAGGUGCCAGACAGUCAUAGACAUAUUAGCAAAGCAUGCUUUUGAUAACAUACGGAGGUUCACAUCUAAACAACGGAAUGCUAUUGAGAAACUUUGGGCUUCCAUACGGGAACAGCAUAAUCGGAGAAAACAGGGGAAAACAGUUACCGGGAAACUUGACGUGAAUGGUUUUGAAUGGCUGCAGGAAAAAUAUGCUAAUGAGAAGAUCAGCAUUCGGCAUUCUGUUGGAGGUAGUGGGGAUCGUAAGACUGAAAUGUGGCUUGGUUGAUAGUAUCCUUCCAGUAGAAAUGUUGCUCAUUAUCUUUUUAGUAGCAAUGUUGGUGAAAGGAAGCAAAACGGACUGAGAAAUACUGUAAUUGAUAUCAUUAACGUAAGAAUCAUUUGCAGUGCAGCAGAAUGUUUCAUCAGUACCUUGUUAUGUGCCACUUGUAUUUUGUAGUUAUGGAUGAACAUCUGGUCAAAACUUCACCUUGGUCUCGUUGUAUUACAAAUUUGAAUCUUUGAGGUUAAAUAAGACUCGUAACUAACACACUUGGAAGUUGGAAACUAAGUAAUUAUAUGCAGAAUUCAUAUUACAAGUUAUAGACAUUAGCUAGUUGCUACCAUCAGCCAAUGACAUUUCAUCGGCGAAAUUUGUUCAACCGACAAAGUUUCAUCGACACAAGUUCUUUAAAAUUCUUUGCCAAGAACAUUGAAAGCUACUCAUGGCAUCUAUGCAGCAAAUUUGAUUGGUGCUGGUAGUUUAUAGCUAAGAUUAUAGGUGAUGUUGUAUCUGAACUGAAAAGGAUUCGAGCAGACUCUUGUUGGAUAGAAACUUUGCUAUUAUGGCUUUCACUGCCUAUCAUGCUUUUAUGUGCUGUGUGCUUUAAUUUCAUGUUUUGUUGCUGCUAUAUGUGCUUGAAUAAAGUUAUGUAUACAUUAUGUUUAGUUCUCUAUUUGUCUUACCCGUAUCCUAAUUCCUAUACGGUUUUGAGUUUUGUUUGCUUUUAUCUACCUUUAGUUGUAGUUCAAUUUCUAGGCCAUUGAAUGAACAAUGCAAUAGGAAUAGCUGAUAUGAGGCAAUGAAUAAUGGCUAAAUCUGAAAAAGCUACUGAGCUACAAUAUCAGUGUGUGAGAGGAUAUGUAUGGUUUUGGUGGAGAGCUGACAUGAGGCAAUAGAUGAUGUACAUGAUUGAGAUUUAUAAGGCGACAAUGAUUUUUAGGUACUUCUCUUGGUGGUUCUUUUCUUGCUGCAAGUCUCUAUAGUACUUAUCUUGGUGAUUUGAAGAUUAUCUUCUGUAAAAAUCUCUGAACUAGAACAAACUACAAACAUAAUUUGUCUAGAGUUGCAAACUAAAAGCUUUACCAAGAAGGGAAUGAAUUGACAGGGUCAAAUCAUUUCAACGUCUUCAUAAUAUCAUAGAAUAGAGUAAAUGAGUAAUGCAAGCAUCGGCAACAAAAUUUGUUUCUCUAAAUGAUAACCCCUGAAGUAAGCCUUUGUUGAUCUUCACAUUCAAACCCAACAAAAUGCAGUAGUUUUUGUUACAUUGUACAGAUGGGUGGUGGAUUGCUACCAAUAGUCACCACAAGAACAAGAUCCAUCUAUGAAGUGGUGAAAGCGAUUCCGGUCCCUUACUAUCAUUACUCUGCUGUAAAUCUUUGAUAACAGCUUUGUAGCUGUGUGACAGUCAUCACACACUCGGAGAUUUUUUACAAUCCGAAUUGGGGUACAUGCAGCUGUACUGAUUAGGCCAAAUGCCAUGGCCAGUUUUUCACUAUGGUAGUUCAGCGCAGUUUCUUUCUCUUCCUCAUCUAUGUUCUGCAAGACCACAGAUGUAUUAGGAGUGUAUCCAGCCUCUUUUAGCUUCUUGUUCAUCUCAGCCAGCAUUUCAUAAAUUUUUCUUGUUUGCGGGUGUGUUUUAUCACCCAUCAUGAAGUCAUGAACUGCGCCGUUUACUUCUAUUGAGCUGAGACCUGGUUCUUUCUUGGUUCCUUGGUCUUUCAUGGCUUUUCUGACACCAGCAACAUCAACCCAUUUGUUUGAUGCUGCAUAGAUGUUUGACAUCAGAACAUUGUAACCGCAAUUUUGAGGUUCCAACUUAAGCAGUUGUCUUGCUGCCACUUCAGCCAAGUUGGGACUCUUAUGAGUUUUGCAGGCAGCAAGUAGGGAACCCCAAACAAUUGUGUUAGGCUCCAGGGGCAUGCUUUUGAUCAAUUUGUGAGCCUCAUCGAGCUUCCCAGCUCGGCCUAGCAAAUCCACCAUGCAUCCAUAGUGCUCAACCUUUGGAGCCAAGCUAAAGUCAUGUACCAUUUUCUCGAAAAUCUUCUUCCCAUCUGCUACCAACCCAGCAUGGCUACAAGCAUGAAGUAGCCCUAUAAAUGUGAUGUCAUUAGGCUUAACACCUUGUCUCUGCAUUUCUUCAAAGAGCUCUAAAGCUUGUUUACCACAACCAUGCAUAGCGAGUCCAGUGAUCAUGACAUUCCACAUCUGACUAUCUCGAUUUAUAGCUUCGCUGAACAGCCUGAGAGCGACAUCUAUCUCCCCACAUUUUGCAUACAUGUCCACUAGAGCUGUUCUUAGUAUCACAUCAACGUCUAUACGCUGCUGGUUUAUGUAAGAAUGAACCCAUUUUCCCAGAUCAAGAGCACCUACUUCUCCACAUAGUGAAAUGAGGCUAACCAUUGUAACUUGAUUUGGCCUUACUCCACUAUCCUUCAUCCGAGCAAAGAGCUCUGAAGCCUGAUUAGUCUGAUUAGCACGUGAAUAAGCCGAGAUCAUAGCACUCCAAAUCAUCACAUCUUUCUCCUCGAUGCUGUCAAACACAGCCCUCGCAUAUUCGGCUUCACCACACUUCCCAUACAUGUCAACCAAAGCAGUGGCCAAAGCCAAAGACAUGACAAACCCAUUUCUCAAAACAUAGGCAUGCAGCCACUUCCCCAACUCCAAAGCUCCAACGUUCCCCGACUCAAUAAUCAAACUCAACACUGUAAUCUCAUUAGGAAACUUUCUCUCCUCCAGCAUUCUCUUGAAAAGUUUCACCCCCUCUUCUACCUCAUUGCAACGAAUGCAUCCUGCAAUCAUCGUGGUCCAUGAAACAACACUUUUCUCAGCCAACCCAUCAAACAGCCUUCUUGCAUAACCCAAAUUCCCACACUUGACAUACAUAUCAACUAAAGCAGUAGUUACAGGAACCACCAGCUUCUCAUUAGCACUAUUCCUCACAACAUAACAAUGCAUUGCUUUCGCC